This 55171-nucleotide long non-coding RNA is filed under the name Ananas comosus (pineapple). Its description in RNAcentral is "long non-coding RNA (ACOM_LNC018120)". Lineage: Eukaryota; Viridiplantae; Streptophyta; Magnoliopsida; Poales; Bromeliaceae. The record is from RNAcentral.
AUAACGUUUGACAACUCUGAUUUUCAUUUGCAGAAGCUUAACCUAUAGUUUCACAAGGUUAUUUGUUUUCAAUUGUUCAUUUUAUGGCUCUUUGACGGACUUAAUAGUGAAUUUCAAAAAUCACGAAAUUCGAUUUCUGGAUAUUUCAAAUACUCUUAAUUAAGUUCAACGGUGCUGAUUAUCAAUUUGGAGUUUGGAUCAUCGAAAUUAUUUGAUAGGAAGAGGCCUCUGUCCUCUUAAGAGGAUAGUAACUCCUCUCUCUUUCUUUCUCUCUCUCUCUCUCGCUAUAUAUAUAUAUAUAUAUAUAUAUAUAUAUAUAUAUAUAUAUAUAUUAUAAUUAAAUCGUCCAACUAGUAACUUUCGUUAGCACAGAGCCCUUAGUGCUAACAAGUUGUUUUCGUUGAUGAGACAUCCGAAUUGAUGAUCGACUCCAUUAGACAUGAUCUACACUAUUGGGUAUAGAAACCAAAUAUCAUGUUUUUGACAUUAUUUGACUGUAGAAUGAAAAAUGAACAGCUGAAAGCAAAAGUCUCAUAAAAAGUAAUGAUAAAAGACUUAAAUUUCAGAUUAGAGGUGUUGAUUUUAUUCUAAAUAGUGAAAAGAAUUUUCUUUCAAAAUUUUGUUAGAUUUGGAUUGUUCUACACCAUUAAACUUACAAAUGCGUCACAUCGGCUUUUAAAAUUAUCAAUUUUGGGACCUUUUGGUCAUUACUCAAAGGAUGGCCAAAGAACAUAAAAUUUGGUCUCUAUAUACCUCCAAUAGUGUAGAUCAUGUCUAAUGGAGGGCUCCGUGCUAACGAAAGAAUGCUAGCUAGACUCUCUCUCUCUCUCUCUCUCUCUAUAUAUAUAUAUAUAUUUUAAUCUGAAACAUUACGACUUUCAAAAAUAAUCUUUAGUAGUAUGACAUUAGUUGUAUCAAAACUAACGAUCAAGCUGUAUGUCUCAACUAUCAUGAGUUGACCGCAUGAAUCCUUUUUCUGCUGUUAUGUUUUAUGUGAUACCGGAUUGAUAUGUCUACUACAAUAAGCAUUAAUUUGUUUGCUGCUUGGGUUAACUCAAGAUAGACUAAUGCAUUAUGGCACUUUAAGUGUAUAAGUACUUGUAGUCAAGCAAGACGGUGUAAAGCACUAAAAAUUUCUUCUAGAUCGAAUCUAUGUUUCUUAAUUAUUAUUUGAGACAAAACUAUCACUUCUGAAGUAUUUUAUGUGUUGUUCUGCUUAGAAUGCAUGUUGAGAAUCAUAGUCAGAGAGACUAAGUGUAGCAUUAGUUAGUCCGAAAGCUGUUGGAAUGCCAAUUUCAUUAGUAAAAUGAGUGUUGGACUUAGCAAGUAAACCAUGUGGCGGCAUAGAUGUAUGUGGACCUAAACAUGUUAAUGAAUCUACUGGCAUAUGUUUAACUCAAUGCUGCUUUUGCUGGGCUGAUCGUCAUAAGUUGAGAAUAACUUGAGGAAAAUCUAGUACUUAAAUGAAAAGACCUAAUGUGAGAUACCUAGAAAGCAAAAGCUUGGGAUCAUUUGCUUGUUUAAUAAUAAUUUAUUCAAUCUGGUCCUAGAGUGUAGCAUAUGCUUUGCAUCAAGGAUUAAAGUACCGGCCCGUGCCGUACCGUGCCCCUAAAUAAGGGGCACAAUACAACCCCUUUAUCGCAGGGAGUAGAAUACCGCGAUACGUAUCACGGUACCUUGCGAUACAUUCAGUUGGGCACGCGGGUGCCACGUUACGUACCGCGCGAGCUGACUAUAUCUUAAUAUUUGUUAUUAUUUUCCCCCUUUUUUAUGUAGUUCAUGAGUUUCUCUCUCUUUUUUGUUUUUUGGUUCAUUUUGCUUCUAUACCCUAACUUCUUCCCCCCUUAUCAUUUGAUUUACAUAUAAAAUCUAUUUUUAUAUUAAGCUAAUCUAAAAUCUAAUCAAAUUUAAAAUAACUUACCUAAUCUAGGUAAUUUAAUCUAGUUAUGGAAUUGGAGUCUAAUCUAAUGUGCUGUAGAUUUUAAAUUAUCAGAUCCAAUAUCUAAUCUAAUCUUUUCUAAUCUAGAAUCAUGUAGCCUAAUCUAAUUUAAUCUAAUUCAGAAGCCUAGAUUACAUUAAACUAGUUUAAAUAUAAAUAUUAUGAUUUAAAAUUAGAUUUGAUUCGGUGAUUUUAUAUUUUCUAAAUUUACCUAAUCUAGAUUACUUACUCUAAUCUAAUAUAAUGUCUAACUUAAUCUGAUAUAGAAUUACUAAAUUUAACGUAGUUUGUACUUAUAUUAACCUAAUCCGAUAUCUCAUAUAAUCUAAUCUAAUCUAGAAUUACCUAACCUAAGGUAAUAUAAUCUAGAAUUGGCUAGAUUAGAUUAAAUUAUUUUAAAAAUAAAUAUUUUUUAUUUACUGUUCGCUUUGAUUUUGUUCUUUCUAUAUUAUCCAAAUUACUCUAAUCUACUAUAUAUAAAAUCUAAUUUAGAAUUACUUGAUCUAAUCCAUAUAAGCUAAUCUACUCUAAACUUUAACUAAUCUAGCUAUAUAUAAAUAGUUUCAUAUAGAAUUAGCCAAGAAUAUAUUAGGUAAUUUUACCAAAUAUAGUCGUAAAAUUAAAGCUCAUUAUGUAAUUUUAGAUUAGCAAAUUGGUAAAUCUGAUAUGAGAUAAUUAUUACUCUGAACUUCUAAAAUAACAUCAUAAGACCUUAUUGGGACCAAAAAAAAUAAAAUAGGGCUAUGCCAACGUGUGCCAUUAGGAGGCCACGCGUGCUUUUCGGCACGCAAGCGUGCCAUGUUGUUCGGCACAGAACCGUGCCAACUACCUACUGGCACGCCCCUGUGCCACGACACUUUAAUCCUUGCUUUGCAUGGUUAUGCAUGGUUAAUUUUUAGUUGGACCAGUAAACAAUUUAUUUUGUAUUGUACUUGGUUUAGGAUGGAAAACUAAUGAGCCGUGUAUUUCAUUCCUUCAGGCAAGAAACAAUGCUCGAGUGUUGAUAUCGGGAUCUUUGGAUCUAUUUAGCAAUCGGUAUGCAUCUAUAGCUUUUUCUUGGAUUUGUAUGGGCCUAUUUGGCCUAGCUUUUGGAGAAGUGAUUUCAAUUGAACUUAUUUUGGUUUGGAGAAUUGCUUUCAGCUAAAAGUUGUAGAGCGACUAACCGAGUCUGGUAGAAAAGUGAUUUUUUUGAAGUGAUCUUGUAAAGUGUUUAGCAAAUUUUCUAAAGGGAUUAUGUAAAAUUUGAAAUUUAAAAUUUUAAAAUAUAAAAUGUGAAAUUUUAAUUUUAAAAUUUGCAAAUUUAAAAUUUAAAAUUUUAAAAUUUGAAAUUUAAAAAGGCUUUUUACAAAAAGAAAUCCAGUAGUCUUGCGGUUUUGCAAAAAUGGGCCAUAUUUUUUAUUUUUGCAGAUUCGGACCAAAUGAAAAUAGACCAAAAUACUCGUGCCCUAAAAAUACGAUCUCUCUUUCCUCUGCCCUCUCCUCAAGGGCCAUGUCUCCGCCACUGGUGGUAGUCUUGAGCGCUCAUCCUACCUCCACUGUCUCCACACCAACUCCUUCGUUGCGUUUGCGUCGUGAAUGCCUUACGAUUGAGAGAAACACAACGAACUUGACUCGCUCGUCGUCGUGGCUGCUCGGUGCUUUGCUGGAGACGGAGACGAAGGUGUCAGAAGAGGGCGACGAUCGCUAGUUCAGAAUGCUUUGGAGGCAUGUUUGCAGCGAGUGUGAGUCGUGUGACUGACGACGACGAGGUGGUGGUGAUAGUGAGAGGGAAAAAUCUAGUCGACAACGCUAUGUUGAACUAUUAAAAAGUUACACUAUUUGAAUACAUGUUGCAUUGUUUAGCAAGAAAGUUACACCAUUUUACAGUUUAAUAUACGCAUCAAAUAGUGCAAUUUUCUUGCUAAAUAGUAAAACAUAUAUUCAAAUAGUGCAACUUCACGUCAUUGGCCAGAUUUUUUCCUUGCUACUAUUGUCACCACCUCGUCGCAGUCGGCUACGCUUGUGAAACCUGCUCGCGAACUUGCUUCAGGAGCAUCCUCGACUAGUGAUCAACGCCUUUUUCCUUUACCAUCUCUGACUCCAUUUUCGGUGAUGCUUUGAGUUACGCCACCGCUGAGAAUUGCCAUGGUCAUGAGUCAAGCUUCGUCAUGGUUCUUUCCCUCAUGUAGUCUUGUGCUAAGUAGAGGAGCGCAAUAGCGACGUUGGGACGGUGUAGUGAGAGGAAGAAAGAGGAUAAAGAGAGCAAAGAGAGAUAAUAGGGAUAUUUUGAUCAUUUUAAAAAAAUUUUGGCUGAAUCUGCAAGAAAGAUAGGCCAAUUUGAAAUCUAAAUUAAAAUGAAAUUUUGCAAUUUGAAAUUGAAUAUUAAAAUUCAAAAUUUUGAGGCCCUUUUGCAAAAAAAAAGCCUGCUAGUUUGCGAUUUUGCAAAAGUGGGUCACAUUUUUCGUUUUUUGCAGAUCUGAAUCGAUUUUUUUUCUUUCAAACUGACAAAAUAUCCUUAUUCUCUCUGUCUUUGCUCUCAUUCUCCCCUUGUUUUUUCUCACUCCAUUGUCCCUGUGUCGCCGCCGCACUCUCCUACCUCACUUACGAGUGAGAGGACAAUGAUGAAGCUUGACUCACUUGUGGCCGUGGCUGUCUUGGGGUGGUUUGACGAGGUCACCGUGGUAGAAACGACGGUGGCGCCGUUAGGAGCGUCACUGGAGAUGGAAACGAAGGUGGCAGAGGUGGGGGGUGAUGAUCGUUGGUCAAGAAUGCCCCUGAAGUAGAUUCGUAAGUGGGUUCACGAGUGCGACCGACGAUGAUGAGGUGGUUGCGGUAAUGAGAGAGAAAAAUCUGGUAGACACGUGAUGUUGCACUAUUUGGAAAAAGUUGCACUAUUUAGCAAGAAGGUUGCACUAUUUGUUUCGUAUGAUAAAAUGUAAAAUAGUGUAACUUUCUUGCUACGUAGUGCAAUAUAUGUUCAGUAGUGCAACUUUUUUUUUUCAAAUAGAGUAAUAUCGUGUCAUUCGUAAGAUUUUUCUCUGUUAUUACCACCACCAUUUUGCCGCCGUCGGUCACGCUCGCGUAGCAAACACGCUUCGGAAGCAUUCUCUACUAGCGACCAUUGUCCUCCUUUGCUACCUUCGUCUUCGUCUCUAGCAAGGUCUGAGUAGUCACGAUGACGAGCGGGUCAAGUUUGUUAUCUUCCUCUUGCCUGUGAGGAACACCAUGACGCAAAUGCGAUGGUGUGUGGAGACGGCGGAGGAGGGAUUAGUGCCUGUGGCUACCGUCAGUGGUGAAAAAAUAGGGCUACCAAUAGGGAGCAAAGGAAGGAGAGAUAAGAUGUUUAAGGGAUCGAGAUAUUUUGGUCCAUUUUCAAAAAUUUUGGUUCGAAUCUACAAAAACGAAAAAUGUGGUCCAGUUAUGCAAAAAUGCAAAACUAGUGUAUUUUUUUGUGCAAAAGACCAAAUUUUAAAUCUGAACAAGAAUUUUAACUUUUAAAAUUUGAAAUUUGCAAUUUGACGUUUAAAAUUUGAAAAUAGAAAUUUAAAAAUUUUAAAUGUUUAAAAUUUAAGUUUUUCUUAAGUUUAAAGUUUGAAAUUUAAAAUUUUGAAAUUUAAAUUUUAAAUUGGAAAUUUGAAAUUUCAAAUUCAAAAUUUGAAAGUUGAAAUUGAAAUUUUGAAAAUUUGAAAUUAAAAAAUUUAAACUUAUUAUUUUGAAUUUAAAAUUUGAAAUUUAAAAUUCAAAUCCGAAAUCAAAAUUUAAAUUUGAAACUUGAACUCAAAAAGCAGAAUUAGAUGUUAGGAAGCAGGUUUUAGCUGCUUCUAAUUUUGAGGCCUCUAAAAUAAAAAAAUUGAUUCUGAAAAUCAGAAUUAGAUUUUAGAAAAAACGUUUCCAAAUGCUCUAUUAAAAAAAAAAAAAAUCACUUUUCACUCUAGAAUCGCUUACUAAAAGUUCUAACCUAGUUAUCUUUCCAAUUUUUAGAUUUUCGAAGUCUGUUGUGCAGAAGGCUGGGAGUAAGAUAAAGUAAGUACUUAACCUUGUAUCAUUUGCAGAUUAUCUAUUUGUGCAAUUAUCAUUCUUUGUUGAAAUCAUGGGCUCGAAAUUAAGAUUUGAUAUCAAGUUAGCUCUCUAUUGUUUUAUACUGCUUGAGAUGAAGUUAGCUCUCUAUUGGUUUUCACCUGGCAUUGUUUUGGUACUUUUCUAAUGCCAUGUUUAAGUGGCAUUUUGCCAAUGCUUACAUAAAUGUAACUUGAUGUUGCAUAUAUUCUGUUCACUUGUAGAGCAGUUUUAUAGACCUAGUUGAACUGGUUAGACUAUUUAGUUUUUGAGAUAUUUUUAGUUGUAUGGAUGGCCAUUUGUCAUUAAUAAUUACACUAUUGAAGACUAGAAGUUUAUGAUAUUUGGAUUUUAAUGACGUAGUAUGGGAGGAAAACAGAGAGCAAAUAGUCAGAUUUAGGCUAAUAAGGACUAUGAAUAAAGAUGGAAUAGUUUGGAUUUUAAGAAAACCACUAGUUUCUUAGAUAUAUUGAAAACAUGAUAUAAAACAGCCAUAAUCUGAUUUGCAUCCCUUCUAUAUUAGGGUUACAAGGUGCUAUUCAAUACCAGCCCGUGAUUAUGACUUAUUGGCUAACUUUAAAUCCUAACCAUCAAAAUAUAAUAAUAAGUCACAUGCUAGUCACACGACAACUAACUAAAUAAAAUAAAUAAAACAAUUGAAAAGUAAAACAUAAUAUUAAAGCUCCUGUGUCAAUCUCCUCAGCUUGGAAAACUCGACUUAGGCGAGAAAACCUUCACGACUUCAUUAUACAUGUCCGAAUCAAUCUUCAUUAAUUUAUCUUCAGUUAUCCAAGUGCUCUCACUAGCUGGUUUUCCCAACCAUUUCACUAGAAAUCUUCUAUACUGGUUGCCCCUUUGAGAUUUGACUUCUUUAACAUCUAAAACAUCUUCAAUAACCUCGGAUUGAACAUUUGGAUACUGCUGAAACUCAUUUGAAAUUUUAGCCACUUCUCUAUCAAAACCCUCAAAUGAAUUUAGAUCGGAAACAUUAAAAAUGGGAUGGAUGUGUAAAUCUUAUGGUAGCUUAAUUAAAUAAGCAUUUGAGCUUAUUUUCUUCAACACUUUGCAUGGUCCAAAUUUCCUUGACUUGAGCUUGUGGUAUGUGCAUUUAGGAAACCUUUCCUUCCUCAAGUGCACAAGGACCAAAUCCUCCCUCUCUUCAAAUUCCUUGAAACGACAAUGUAGAUUGGCCGCAUUUGCAUGAAUUUCAUUGUUGGUUUUCAAGACAGCCUUAACUUCCUUGUGAACUCGUCGGAUAUGAUCUGCAAAUGCCUCUCCAUCAUCACUAACUCUAGCUCCCAGAGGCGAAGGAACUAAGUCAAGUACAUGUUGCGGUUUGAGUCCAUAUGCAGCUUCAAAUGGCGUCUUCUUGAUUGUCCUAUUCACUGAAUUGUUGUAAGCAAAUUCAGCCUGAGGAAUAAUCAAGUCCCAACUCUUUGCAUGAUUCCCAACAACACAUCUCAACAUAUUUUCCAAACUUCGAUUAACAGCUUCGGUUUGUUCAUUCGUUUGUGGAUGACAAGUAUUAGAAUAUUUUAAAUGAGUCCCCAUUUUUCUUCAUAAGGUCCUCCAAAGUGUCCCACAAAUUUGACAUCUCUAUCCGAAACAAUGGAAGAUGGAACAGCAUGGAGUCUCACCACUUCUUUGAAGAAUAAUUCAGCAAUAUCUGUAGCAUCAGAAGUUUUCGAACAAGGAAUGAAAUGCUCCAUUUUCGAAAAUCGAUCCACUACAACAAAGAUAGAAUCAUUUCCUUUGGCAGUCUUUGGAAGUCCCAAGAUAAAAUCCAUGUUCAAAUGAAUCCAUGGUGCAUCUGGUAUAGGUAAUGGAGUAUACAAUCUGGUAUUUUGUGAACUACCUUUACCAAAUUGGCAAGCUGAACACCUUUUUCCGAACCUAUCCACAUCCUUGAACAUUUUUGGCCAAAAAUAGCGAUCUGCAACCAUUGCUCCCAAGCCAUUUCCAUGAAGUUCUCUAACAAUUUGCUCUCCCAAAGAUCCCUCUUGGGAUGCACAGUUGGUUGCCUUUGAGGUGAUAUCCGUCGUGUAAAUGAUAAGGCAAAGUUUCAAGCCUUGCUGGCCCUUCCAAUUCAGCAAUUAUUUUACUGAAAUAUGGAUCAGUUUUGUAUUGAUUUUUUAGCUCUUCGAAACCUGUUACUUGAUUACUCAUCACCUUUAGUAGAGUAGAUCGCCUACUAAGUGCACCUGCCACAAUGUUAAACUCCCCCGACUUGUAUUUUAAUGAAAAACUAGUGUAGGCCCGCGCUUCGCGACGGGUAAUUUAUUUUCCAUAAUUUUUUAAUAUUAUUAAUUUUAAGUUAAAAUGUAUGGAAUUUAUCUAAACUAUGAACCAUCUUGAAUCGGCUAUUCAACCUUAAUUUUGAUUUUACUGCCAACCUUUCAAUUGUUCAAUUUGAGUCACUUAACGUUACUUUGAAUUUAAAUUUUAAGCUAUUUACUUACUGUAAUGAAUUUAUAGUUGCGGAAAUUGUAUAAAGUAUAUUAACUAAACAUUUAAAGACAAACAAUACAUUCAAAUUUGAAGUUUAAAUGCUGUUGGCUGACUUAAAUCAAACAAUAUUGAAUGAGUAGUAAAAUUAAAAUUUUAAAAUGUUGGGUGGCUGAUUCAAAAUGGUUCAUAGUUCAUAUCAGUAUGUUUUUUACCCUAAUUAAAAUAGGAACUAAAAUUUUAAACACUAAAUCCUUAACUCUAGCUCUAAACUCUACAUUAAUUUACAUAAUAAAGCGUAUCAUAAAGAUUAAAUGCAAUGUCUGCGGAUUCUUCCACUGACAAAAGGGGAAAAGAAAAUACAAAACAAUAUAAUAAAGCUUAAGAUAUAUAAAAAAAGAAAAAAAUACUACAGAAACAUAAAAUUAGUUUCAUUUAUAUUAUGAAAUAUAAAAUGAGAAAUCAGGGACAUGCCUUUUGAAGCUUGAUCCAUAACGGUAGAAAUGUACUAAAUUUAGACAUAAUUUUCCUCUAACAUUAAAUAAAUAAAAAAAUAAUUGACAAAAUAUUUUUGAAAGUAUAAAAUUUUAAAAUUAAAAUUUUCAAAGUUAAGACCCAACAAAAAAUAUAAUUGAAAAAAUCAAAACCAGUAGCAGUGCAAUACACUCAUUUCUGAAAAGAUACGGAUGCCAGGCUGGAGCACAUACUCUCCUUUCUCUCUCUCUCCAACUCCCAUCACCUUUAUCUCUACCCUCAUUUCUUCGUCCUAGAGUCUUUCUCCUCCGAUGCCUCCACUUUCCAACCCACCUCAAAUCUUUCUCACUCCAAAGCCAACGAAGCUUUCGUCGCUACCUCCACCAUUGCCUACCUUGCUUUUUUUUUUGGAUCUGGUGUGUGUGGUAGUGGAUCGUGGGUGGUGUAUGGUUGUGGGGUUUGUGAGGGCGCUUCGUUGUGUCCUCCGAUCGGCUUCUCCCACCUUUAUUAUAGACCUCCAGAAAGGACCAAAUUCUAGAUCUGCACCGGUGAUCGGCAAUGCAGCAUGUGACGGUGCAGGACAUCAGGAUUUGGGGCGCCAGCUUUGAGAUUUGUGGUACGGUCAACGAGAUCUCCAGGAUUGCGAGAUCGGCGGGAUGUGACGUUGCGACAGCAUGGAUCGCGGUAGAUCCCCAAAUCUCGAAGGAUCCUGUCAAGAUUGAGAGAGAGAGAGAGAGAGAGCGAGAGAGAGAGAGAGAGAGAGAGCCUGUAACCGGAGGAAAAUAGCACUCGAAGAGCUGAGGAGUCAACACGUCAUAGGUAGAAGACUCGACAUUCAUGUAUUUGUUUGAUUGAACUCAUCAAGGUAAGAACUCCACUUGGCAUGACGUGCAUUAACUUUCUUCUUAGAACUCAAGUACCUUAAAGCUUGAUGAUCGGAAUAAACCACAAACUCCUGAUAAGCCAAAUAAUGCUCCCAAUGCUGAAUAGCUCUCACCAAAGCAUAAAACUUUAUGUCAUAGGUGGAAUAACGUCGUUUAGCAUCAGAUAGCUUCUCGCUGAAAAACUCUAUGGGCUUCCCAUCUUGACUAAGAACUGUCCUGAUUCUAGUAUGAGAUGCAUCACACUCCAGAAUACAUAGUUUUUCAAAAUCAGGUAAUGAAAGAAUCGUGCUUUAGUCAUCAUAGUCUUAAUGUGUUCAAAGGGUCUUUGGGCUGAUUUCAACCAUUCGAAACUAUCCUUCUUCAAACAUUCAGUUAUAGGACUCAUAACGGAGCUGAAAUUCUUAUGAACCUCCUAUAAAAAGAAGCUAACCCAUGGAAGCUUCGAUCUUCUUUAAUGGUUCGUGGUAUAGGCCACUCCCUAAUGGCCCGUACCUUUCCCAGAUCAAGUUUUAUGCCUUAAGCUGAAAUAAUAAACCCCAAAAAUACAACUUUAUGGUACAUGAAAGAACAUAAACAUAUAUAAUCGAUUCCAAUAUUGUAAGCGGCCGUUUGGUUGGGGGAUGGAGGGGAUAAGGGGUUAUCCCCCCUUCUUCCCAAACACAAAAAAAAGGGUGGGAUAGCUAUCCUAUUCCUUGUGUGGGAAUAGGGGUGGGAAAAAUUUAUAAUUUGUAAUCUUAAAGUUAAAAUUUUAUAAUUUUAAAUUUUAAAUUGAUAUUUUAAAUUUUUUAAAUUUAAAAUUUGAUAUUUUAGAUAUUUAAAUUUAGAUUUAAUCUUAAACUUAAAGUUUAAAAUUUAAAAUUUAGAACUUUGAAUUUUCGAAUUUGAGAUUUAAAAAUUUAAAUUUAAAUUUUGAAAUUUGAAAUUUAAAAGUUAUAUAUUUAAAUUUAAAAAUUUAAAUAUAAAAUUUAAAAAUUUAAAUUCAAAUAUAAUAUAAGGGGCAAUAUCAUUAUUUUCUAUUUAUAACUACCCACUAUUUUUCUUAUUCUGUUUUAUCUAUCCAAACGCUAUUUUUCUUAUUUCCGUAAACAACUCAAUUUUCAUCCAAACGCAAAAUUGGUCUAUUCUAGGCUUAUACCUGAAUUUAUAGCUAUCCCUAGAAUAAAAAGUUCUUGCUUAUACCCGAACCAAAUGAAGCCUAAAGAAGUAAGAAUCACUAUGAAAAUGUUUAGAUAAUACCUAUGCAUCGUGAACUCAACUGGUGAAAAAUUUGAGCCUUCGCUUUGAGUUUUCUUUCGAUUUCUUUGCAGAAUCUUCUAGUCUUCAGAUAUCAAAAUCAUGAACUGAACCCUUUUAAAGACUUCGAUUCAAACCACGAAAUAUGCUAAUAUAAAAUCUGUAAUAAAAAGGAUUAAUAUGGCUGAUUUUAUAUGAUCAGGCUACAAGUCAUAUAACAUUGGCCUUUUUGCAUAAAAAAUCCUCCGAUUUUACAUUCUUUCAAAAAUAGACAACCAUUUGGAUUUUGCAUGUUUGGCCCGAAUAUUUAGUAAAUUGAUCAAAAUGCCCUUAUUUUCUCUCAUUUUUUUUUCUUUUAUUCAUUUUUCUUCUCUUGCUCCCGAUUUGCCUCCCUCGUUCUCGCCGUUUCUUACUCUUCCACUCUCACUUCCUCUCCCUUCUCUUUCGCCAUUGCCCCCACAUUGACACCAUGCUUCGCUCUCUUACAUCGCCCACAUCUCCGACGUUUGCACGUUUGCUCGAAUAUGGCACAGAUCGCGACUGUGCGACAGCAAUGUUGACGAGAGCACCGUAGGAUUUGAGGAUGAUGAGGAAGGAGAGCACGUCGGGGCGGGGUCGGCAGCUAUAGCACAAGACGAGAGAGGGGGUGUGAUAGCUGGAAAAGAUGUAGAUGGUGAAAGAAAAAGAAAAAGAAAGAAUAAAAAAUAAAAAAAUUAAUUUUCUUCGUUUGUAAAGAUCAUCAUCUGUCGUGAGUCGUGGCCGCUACAAAAAAAGUCAAGAAGUAGAGAAGAAAGAGAAAGAAGACGAAAUGGCAUUGUUUGAGAUGAAAUUGCACUCGUUGAGCCAAAAGUUGCACCAUUUAAAUUAUUUGAGACUAAGUUGCACUAUAUAAAAUAGAAGUUGUACUGUUUGAGAUUUAAGUUGCACUGUUUGAGACUUUAGUUGCACUAUUUAAGACCAAGUCUCAAACAGUGCCACUUAGACCAAUUUGCAUAAAAUGGUGCAACUUAAAGUCUAAAAUAAUGCAACUGCUUUAUGUGGUGCAAUUCAGUCUCAAAUAGUUUUAAAUGGUGCAACUUUCGCUUCAAGGAGUUAAACUUUUGUUUCAAAGAGUGCAACUUUCGUCUCAAAUAGUGCAACUUCGUCUUCUUCUUUCUUCUCUGCUUCUUGGCCUUUUCUGUAGCAGUUACGACACAUGAUGGUCUUCCCAGGAGAAGAAAAAUAUAAUUUUCUUUAAUUUUUUUUUACCUUUGAAAUCAUUUUUCCCUGUCGUGCCCUUGUUCUCUUACGGUGCACCCGCUGCCUCUGCCCCGGCGUGCUCUCUCUCCCCGUCGCUCUCAAAUCCUGCGGCACCUUCGCAAUCUAUGCCAUGCGCUUUGCCGCCAGCUCACCUCCGCAAUCUCGGCCAUGUUCGAACCAAUGUCGGCGGCGGUGUAAACGAGAUAAGAGAGCAGAGCGUGGCAUUGAUGUAGAGGCAGUGGAGGAGGAGGAGGAGGAGGAGAGGGAGAGGAUGCAAGAGAAGGAGAGGAAAAAAUGGCGAGGAAGAGGUAGACGAAGCAGGAGCGAGAGGAGAAAGACGAAUGAGAGAAAAAAAGGAGAAAAAAAGGAAUAAGAGUAUUUUGGUUAGUUUUUAAAAAUUCGUGCCGUAUCUGUAAAAUCUAAAAUGCUGGCUCGGUUUUGCAAAAAGGCAAAACUGGUGGAUGUUUUAUGCAAAAAGGCAUAUAACUUUCAAUGGUAUGAUGCUCUCUUUCCGCUCUUCAGGCAAUCUUCUUAAUGAUAGAAACAAUUAUAAAAAAAUUCUCUUGUAUUAGUGUAGUAAUAUUAACAUACUCUUGCCUUAUAUGAUGGAGAUGAUUUGUAAAAGUUGUUUUGACUACUACCAUAUGUGGAACAGAGUUGGUAUACCUAUUUUUUGAUAAUUCUUCUGCCAGUACAGUGCUACUAAGGCCUAACAGAGUCCAACUUAACCUUCCUGAUUUUUCCGCUUGGUUCUUUCGGGGUCCAUGCUCAUAACAGGGGUGCAGCAUGACUUCUUUGGGACUUUAGAAUUUAACACCCCAGAUCUCACAUAAAAAGAAGAAUGUCUUUGAGAAUGUUGCAUUUUAAGCGUGUUAUCUCACAUGGUGAGAGCAUUUUAAUUGCUUGCUAACAGCCUAACCGAUAAGAACACAUUUGCUGCUGUGUGUUUAUAGUGCUAUCAAUGAUAUAAGGGCCCAACGGCAUGGGCCAUGCCCAUCGUGAUGUACUGUGCUAAUCAGUGAUAUGACCUCUGUGCCAAUGGCACAGCUAAAGAUCUCUUUUUUUUUUCAUAAUUAGUUAGUAAUUACAUGAGUGUAGUAUAAGAUAUUUGAUAAGAGAUAUAUUAAGAGCAAGAAGAAUUUACUGGUGCCAAAGAAAAUGAAUCUUGUUCAUGCCAAAAUGGAUGACACAUAAGAGUUAUGUCAACGGCACACAUUGGCAUGGUGGGAUAUGAUUCCAAAGAAAUUUAACUUUUUCCUGCUGAAGUGUGACAAGGCACAAGUAUUUUGUCAAUGGCCCACAUGCAUGUUGAACUGUGACGACAAGUGCCUAGUACAAACUCGUUCCGUGGCACUUUGUAUGGUCGUCAACAAAUUGCUUUUUAAGUUGCUGCUAAUGAAAUUAAAUCAUCUUUUAAAUUUAUCAGGUGCCUAAGUAAAUUGGCAAGGUUUAAUCCCUUGUAAGAGAAACUUGAAUGCUUAAAUAAUACGUUUCUUGCAAGUUUAAGAAAAGAAAAGUAUUAAUGUGUAGCUUCUUUUAAUUGCUUACUGAUGUGGUAAGGGACACGAAAAAAAGAUCAUGGGAGGACAAUAGGCAAAUGAAAAUCACUAGAGAAUCAAACAAUCAAGUAGUAACUACUGAAGUAUAACAAAUGAUUGCAUGUUAGCAGAAAUGAUUUUUGCUUACACUCUAUACAAAAAUAAGACGUUAACUGCCUGAUGUACACAUUUUUUUAUCUGUUAAUCUUAUGUUUGACAUAGUUUCUCUAAUCAAAGAUGUUUGUAUAUUCUGAUACGAAUUUGCAGAUACGAGAAAUCUGGAAACGAACAAUUUGUGACUGAAAUCAGCAAAUGGGUCUUCCACGAAAGGGGCCAUCUCAAGGUGAAACAUUUAACAUGACAAUAACUCGUCGGUUAUCCGUUUUGUUUUUGUCCCCUUAUGUGUAUCUUGUCCCCCCUAGAUUGACUGUAUGCUAAUUAAAAUCGUGCCAGACAAAAUCGUACACUUGGGAGUUUUCUACCAAUUGACAAUUGCAAAAUUAAUCAAGGACAUUGCUGGAACCUAGGCACCUUUAAUUGCAUAAAACUUGAGAAAAACAAAUAACAUUAUGACAAAUGACAAGAGUACAGCUUGCUUUUGAUCUCUUAUAAUUUUGUGGUAAAUAUCUUCAAUUAUUAGUUUCCAAUUGAUCGAUGAAUGUUACAUUUAUGGUUUUUCAGGCUGUCAAUGUCAGCCAUCGCAAAGUUGGAGAAAUGACAGAACCUGCAAUGUACCGUAUAAAUGAUGAUUUGGUAAAUGUCAUAAUAAUGGUCGUGACAAAUGAUAUCAUGAAAAAAAGAAGAUAUUUUCUUCUCUCUUAUUUGAUUCCUAACUUUGAUAUUUGUUUUAGGAAUACUCUGUUGAAAUCUAUGAAUGGUCUGGAACAAGCUGGGAACCUUAUGUUGCUGAUGAUGUUCAAGUUCAAUUCUACAUGAUGAGUCCCUAUGUUUUAAAAACAUUGUCGAAUAACCAGAAGGUAUGUUUCAGUGACACUAACACGUGUAUUUGGAGAAUGAUUGACCUUCUCGUAGUAACACACUCAUGAUAUUUUUUUAUAGGGUCUUUAUUCGACAUCCUUUAAAGUUCCAGAUGUCUACGGAGUUUUCCAAUUUAAGGUUGAGUACCAAAGGCUUGGAUAUACCAGUCUCCGUCUCGCAAAGCAGGUUAGCUAUGCUUUUGAAGUUUUUACUUUUCAGCUUAAAAAAAGUUGGUUUUGCAGCAUUUAGCUGUGGUUUCUCUGCAUAGGUCGUAAUUGUAGGAUGAAAUGGCAUAGUUUUCAGAUGCUGGAAUUUGGUUUCAGCAUAUGCCUUCAUGCAAGAACUAAUUGGGCACUGAUUAUUCUUUUUACAUGUUUUACAUCCUGUCUUGAGAGGUAGAAGGAUGCACAUGAAUGAAGAUUUUUGUUGGUCACUUUGUAAUACGAAAAUGGAAUAGAUAUGGUUGAUGCUGUUUUUUUAGCAAGUUAAUCUAAACCACGGGCCCCUCUAUUUUAACUUGACUCACUGGUAUUUCUCUCAAAUUUAGGGUUUCUGAGUAUGGAACCCCUCUUCAGCAUUUAAAUUCCUUCUACAAGAAUAAAUCUGAAAAAAGGCUUUCAAAGUAUGUAUAUAGAAGAUUAAUCAACACUUCUUGCUAUUAUGUGAUUAGGUUUCUGAUCUUCAUGAUGAGAUCAGGGUUUCUGACGUUGACAUAGAAAUUUUAGAUAUUUACAUCCAUUUCUUUUGAGUGCAAAUGGGCUUUUUGCUGAUAUAAUGGUAAUUCUGUUAUCUGAAGUAACAUUUCGGACAUUAAAUAUUUAAAAUUCAUUACUAGAUAUUUUGCCAUAAAAGGGGUUUAACAAUCUUCUAUCUGGAUGAUUGCAUUACUACGAGGCAGGAAGAUGGUCUAUAUGUGUUAUGCCCUGGGCAUUUUUGGAAAGUAUUUUCGAAAAAUCCUUCCAUUUUGAAAAUAAAGUCUUGCGGAAAAACGUAUAAUUUUUUUUUCGUUUUUUACACCUUGCCUGAGACGUACAUAAACUCACCAUACGCGCAGAGUUUUCUCUAUCCACACGGAUAGUCUUUCUUGUACAUGCACGGCGUAGGAGCACAGGUACACAACCACAAGUGACCAGAAUAAAGAGGAAUUAACAACAGAUACAACUACUACAAUUCAAAACCAUACCUAGGAAUUUACUAAACCACUACAAUAGGAAAAACCCAAGUAAAACUAUCUCAAAACUAAGUCACAUAAACAAAUGAUAACAAUAAGAAAGUAAAUCAGGGACGAGUAACAAGGUCCACAGCACGAGUCAAGGAUUAAAGUGUCAUGGCACGGAAGCGUGUCUGUUGUAGCCUGGCAUGGUAUGGCACAGGCAUGCCUCGGUGCUGACACGUGGCACGCUUGCGUGUCGAUGGAUACGCAUAACCUCCUAGUGGCACGUUUUGGCACAAUUUUUUUUAGUUUUUUUUUGUUUCCAAUAAACUCUUAUACUAUUUUGAAAGAUUUAGAAAAAUAAUUAUAAAUAUUGGCUAUGUAUAGUUUAUUAGUUAUCACACUCAGCAAUUAAUAUAGUAAUAGAUAUUUUAUAUAUGUAAAGUAAAAUAUAAUUAGAGAAAAUUAUUUAUUAAAAAAUUGAUUAACUUUGAAAAUAUUUUGAUUUUACCUUUUUUCAAAAAUUUAAAAACUUUAAAAUACAAAAUUAGAGAAAAUUAUUUUUUCUUAAAGUUUUCAUGGGAUUUGCAAGAUUCAAUAACAUUGAUUCGAUGAGAGAUCGCAUGAUGACUAGAUUAACUAAAAUAGCACUAUUGCUCCAAUAAUUUCUUUUAAUUUUGAAUCUAUUAAAAAUAUUUAUUAAAAUUUUGAAGAAAAUUUAUUUUUUAUUAAAAUUUUUAAGAAAAAUUGUGAGAUCUAUCAAUAAAAAUUAAUAAUAAAUCAUAUGACGAAUAAUUAAGCAAAUUCAAAUAUCAAUUGCUUAAAUUUUUUUAUUUUAUUUUAUUAAUAUUUUCCAUCUUCUAAAUCCAAAAAUAGAUUUCUCGAAGUUAAAAAAAUUUUGUCGUAAGUCUCAUACCCAUUGCUAGAUUUAUUGAAAAUAAUUAAAAAUCGGACUACAUAAUAACUUAAUCAAGUAGAUCUAUUUUUAAAAUUAUGUAAACUAUAAAUAAAAAUUUACAUAAUUUUAAAUUUCUCCAAAACAGGAACUGUACAAGUUAGAAAUAUUCAAAAUCUAUGAACAAAUUUUAAAAUUGUAAAUUUUUUAUUUAUCUAAUAAGUACAUCUUCAACUUGAAAGUAGAAAUAGAAGGAAAUAAAAGAAGAAAUUAGAGAAAAAAUUAUAAUAAGGGAGGAAAAAUAGAAAGAAAAAAAACGAGAGGAAGAGAUAGUGAGAAGAAAAGAAAGGAAAAGACUAAAAGAGAGAGUUGAAGGGAAGAAAAGAUAGAAUAGAAUGAGAGAGAGGGAUAAAAAUAAAUCCAAAAGUAGGCACAAAGCAAAAAAAAUGGUUAAAACUUAAAACGCUGCUGCGUGCCCAUAUAGGCACGCAGUGGCAUUGUGCCGCGAUACCCUUUGGGUAUCAUGCUGUCUCGCAAGAUACCUUUUGGGUAUCGUGGCACGAGAGGUCUAAGAAAGACCACCCCUGUAUCAUGCCCCUUAAUUGCUGGCACGAUACGUAUCGUUCUGUGCCGACCGGUAUAGUAGAUACUUUAACCCUUAGCACGAGCUAUCUAGCCGCUAACUAUCCACGUCCUCACACCCACGGUAGAUACUUUAAUCCUUGGCACGAGCUAUCUAGGCGCUAACUAUCCACGUCUUCACACCGCGCCUCGACUCACACUGUCAGCAACACCUGUAAAAAGUGGGGUGAAAAACAUAUAAAUAUGUUUUCAAGUGAGGGCAACUAGCCGGCAAGGGUAAGCCGAACUCACCGUUCAACAAAGGAGUACGAUAAACGAAUAACUGCAGAUAUAGUGUAAUCAACUAUAGUAGCAUUGUGGGUAGAUAGAUAAAUAUCAUAAAGUGGUAUACAACAUAAUGCCGCUACUGUAACCAUAAAUCAAGAUACUAAACAUGAUGGAUACAACCAACCACACUAAUAAGAGAAUCAUCGAAUAACUGCCAUGAACAAAUAAAUCAAGAGAUACUGCUACUGUAAACAAAGUGGUAUACAAAUGCAAUAGGAACACCAACUACGGUAGUAAGAUGAUAAACUACGAAAUAUCAUCAAUCACUAAACGAGGAAUGCCACUACUGUAAUCCAAAUAACUACAUGAACACCAUGCAUAACUCAUUAGACAUUUGCUAUGCAUCAGUUGGAUAUGUGAUUACUUUGCAUCAACUGGAUAUGUGAGAAGUCCAAGGUAUACCCAAUCAUCAUGAUCUGCCAUAAUGACCAGGCCUAAGCUUGCACGCUAGGUCGCAAAGACCAACAAAUCAAGUAUCACUCCGGAGGGACAAUCACCUGCACCCAUAGUCGCUAAUUCUGUCUAAACGCAGUGUAUAUCAAAUCUGGGGGUGAAGAAGUCAGGGUGGCGAACCCUGUCUAUGAAACAACACCCCCAACUAGGCUGGCAACUGAAGAACCCAAGGUUGUGAACCCUGUGUAAGACUCUUACAGUGCCGUCACAAGCUAUUGUUACAUGUGUAUGCUCAAAGCUCCAAUAACCGAGACUCAACAGUCAGACCAAUGUCCGUAGGCAACAAUAGGAGCCAAAAGGUAAUCUCAAGAGAUGUCAACGAAGACAAUAAAGUCCAUACUCUCCAAGUCGAUUAGCAUGCUACACUACACGAGUAUAUAGGAAAGUGACAAUAAUGCAGGUAACCAAGGUGAAGCAUGCUGAGACCCAAUCAUGACAGGAAUAGUCAUUCGACCCCUAGGGUCAAUUGUGGAAAUAAACAUCGAUCAACUAGGUCAAUCUCACAGAGCAAAUCGCCGACCAUAUGGUCAAGUCUCACAGGAGAUAAAUCAACCAACUAACAUAGUCAUAACCCGACGAGGAGUAAACACCGACGUAUCAGAUCCUAUCAUGUACAGGUGGAUAGUCCACUAGAUCACAGUCUACUAUACAUGCUGUAUAAUAUUCAUCGAUGGGAAUCAGUCAUGAAACAAAUAGAUAGCAUGAUACAGGCAUGUACAAUAAGAGCACAUACAAGCAUAGCACCAUGGUAAGUUGUACUACUCAACCGCUAUAUAGUAUAGAUCAAGCAUAGAGGAAACAGAGUAAGAUAUAAUUUUACCGACUUAGGAAUGGAGCACCCACCUCACCAAGUAUCCGAGUUCUCGACUCGACCGAUGUAUCUAACCGUCACUUGUACAGAAGAUACAAUCACCAAAUAUCAUAUAAUUAGAACCCUACGUGCCAUCUAUACUAACCAAUACGUUCAAUCCACACCAAUGUGCACCACGACACAACCGGAACUCUAAUUUCGCAGACCGGGUUAUCGAACUAAGCCCAAGGAUUAACCGAUUCAACAAAGAGUCAUAACAAUGCUAUUACUGUCCUUAGAGGCACAACUUUAGGUGUUGGAAUGACCGCAUGCCAAGUGCUUAACGAACUGGAUAACAACUACUGAGCAAAGCCACGAUGGGGCCUAAAGUCACUACAAUAAUCUGAACACCACUAUCCAGCACUCCCCAUGACACAUCAAGCAUCGAAAAGCUAAGUACAUAGUGUAAUCGCACAUCACAUCAAAUAAAGCAAUGAAAAGGAGAUUUCGGGUAAUUUACUAAACUUCCACAAUCCGAAAGUGGACCAACAGUGCACGCCUGCACGGGGAUCGAUGAUGUGCCGCUGGCUGCAACAAAAUAGAACCAAAAUCACGACGAUGAUCCACAAUGAUUGGAGAACGAGAACAAGCCGUGCGGAGCCGACUUGGGUACACCACGUUUGCAACUCCUCAGGUUGUCCGAAACACACCAGCGAGGUGAGCACAACGUAUAGGAAUGCUAGACGAUCAACAUCCUCACAAGGACCGCGAUCCCCUGCCACCGAGUUGACCGGAAAGCCAACUGCUAAAAACAAGUCAAUUAAUCGAGCAUUUUGUGAGCGACAUGGAAAAUAGUAAUCCGAAACACAUUUACUUGAAUUUGGGGGAGCGUGGCACCACAUAGAAGUCGAGGGAUGAUGUGCUCACAAGCGGAGGGUCGCUGGAGGCCCCGAUUGGUCGAAAUAGUGCCCACGGCCGAGAGCAAGGCCCAAGCAAGCAAGUCGGGGCAGUAGCAACAGUAGCUACAUACAGGGGGUUUUGCAAGCUUAAUAGAGAACUGGGGGAGGUAAGCCUGGAGGAGGGGAGGCCGGAGCGCACGCUGGCCGGCGGUGGCCAUGACGGCGGCGGUUGGAGGAGCAAGCUCAACCACCACAAGAGCCAAUAAUGGCCACAACAGCAAAAUAAAUCAAAGGAGUUGCAGGCUUGGUCCAGGAAGCAUUGAGGGAGGUGGAGAGAGAAGGCUGGAUGGCAAUGGAGGAGCGCCGGCGAUAGCGACAGGAGAAGCAAUGGCCCCAGAUCGGGCCGCACACUGUUGUGCGUGCGCGGCGUGGUUGGGAAGGGUGGUCGCUGGGGUUUUCCGGCCUGGAUGCGGCGGCGGCGACCACGGCCUUAACCCAAGUGGAAGGGUCAACUCUCUCUCUCUCUCUCUCUCUCUCUCUCUCUCUAUAUAUAUAUAUAUAUAUAUAUAUAUAUAUGUAUGUAUUUGUAUAUGUAUGUAUGUAUGUAUAGAGAGAGAGAGAAGAGAAAGAGAUGGGCGAAGGGAGGAGGUUUGUUGCAGUGCAGCGUUGGAGCAAGGAGGGGGUGGUGGCUGAGGCUUGAAGAGAGGGAGGGGAUUAGGUUAUAGGGUUAAAUAUAAUAUAUACACACACGCACAAUACAUAUAUAUAUAUCCCACUUUGUGCAACAAUUGCAGCUUUCACCUCUGACUGUUCCCCCUAUGCGCCCUGCUCCAGAGCACAGCACAUUUUGCAGAGGAACCCCUCCUAUAGUAAAAUUUCACUGUUUCACAUUUAAAUUGUCAGGCAUUUUGUGAAGUGAUCCCUCGUUCAAAUUUCUCUCUUCUACUUCCCUUUAGUGCCAUUUUGCACAAAAAUGUCAGAAUUUCAUGAAACUUGAAUCCACCUAUUCCUCUUUGGGUCUAUUUUCACAUUAGUCCUGCUUGUGGAAAUUUCAGUAUUUCUUCCAUGAAUUGAUAACCCCUUCGCGCAUUGCCCCUUUUUCACAAGUUGCAAAAAUUGCAAUUUAAUCCCUCAUGUUCAUAGUUUCAUAUCCAAAACUCACCGAUAGGUGUGUUUUGCUCAUAAGUUCCCCCACCUCAAAAAUUGCCCACUUUGACACAUGAAAUGUCUCGCUUUUUGAAUGGAAACUCUGUUUCAAUUAUUUUGCACGCAUUCAAUUUAUAUCCUCAGAACAUCAGUUUAUCACAUGAAAUUUCACCGAGGCCCCCACAUGACCUACAGCACUGGAAAUCCAUGAAAGUGACCAUUUUCGUUUUGAUGCAAACUGCUCUGAAAUCUGUGAUAAUACACUCUCUUUUAAGAAACUCACUGUUAGAUGGCCUGGGUUCUACGAUGUGUUAAUUUGAAAUCUCCCUUAUUAAGCUUUUUCUGUUUAUGUUGAAGAUGUUAUAACAAACUCAAUGGAGGAGAACAGGUCAUGCUAAGGAAAUUUAUCAGGCUGCAAGUCAAAGUUAUCAUGCAAUCUCUCUUAAGCCUCGUUUGGCAUCAUUGUUGUUUUUCUUUUGAUUUUUUAAACACCAAUUCUAUAUACGUCGAUAUACCAAUAAAAAGGCUUUCUUGUUUUUGUUAUUGGUUAGAUUGCAACACACCUAGCCAAGUCAUGGAUGACACGCGCACACACAAAUCUUGGUAACUAAGAAAGUUCCUUCCAUGUUUUUCCUUUUUGUUGUCAAACAAACACCAUGGAUGUAAGGAUUGCAAGCGUUCUACCAUCCCCUCCUACGGUACUUCAUAUCGAAAUUAUAUUUGAAAGAAAAAAAAUAAAAAAAACAACAACGAUGCUAACUGAGGCCUUAUAUUGUUGUUUCUUAAUCAGUGAUUCAUGAACAAAAUCAAUUAAAGAGAUUCAUUUGUACGUCAUAGUUAAACUUAAUUGGUCAGGGUAUGUGCUGCUUGCUGUACUGAAGAAUAUCCACAUAAGCAAAUUGUUGCUAAAAAUGAAGAAAAAGAUCCGUAAGAAACCAUUAGGCCAUUAGAGAAUUUUUUAAAUUUAGAGCAUUACUUGAUUCUUGAACUAGAGAAGACUCCAUGGAAUGCUUUGUUCGUAUCUUGUGAGAAGUUACCAAUCUAGUUGCUAAUCUAUUCUAUGGGAGCCAUUUAUAUAUCUAAAGAACUCAAGCGAGGUAUCUGAGGAGCUAUUUGGUUGCAAUAAUACUGGCAGACUGUAGUAUGUGGGUAUGGGCUGAUCGGACCAAGAUUUGAUUAGAUUGGAUAGCCCUCAAAUUUGUCACCACAUAUUGUAGGUGAAAACUGAGAAGCUUUAAAGAAGACCUAUCUCUCAGCAUAUCAUGUUUUUAGACGAAGUCGUAUGCAGGUGGUAAAAGUUACCAAUUAUUGUGAUGCAGUAAGGAAGCUCUCAGUAAUUUUAUUCUAUCUAGUUUAGUUUUGGUCUGGACUCAUCAUCAUUGGUGGUCAAUGAUAAUUAAUCAUCACUUCUAGGUUAUUUUUCCUUUUGUUUUCCUAGAUGGCUGCCCUUCCCCUGAUUCCUUUCAUUGUGCGACUCUUUCAUAUAUGGAUUUCUUGCUUCCUUAUUUGUUUUGACUUGCUUGUUCAUUAUGGGUUUUAUUCGUAGUGAUUGCUUUGGGUUUAAUAUUAAUCUCCAGCUAGCGUUGAUUUUAGGCAUCUUUUAGCUUGGCAGCAUUUUUGUGGCUUUUGGAAAUCUUUCUUGCUGUCCUUGUCUUCUCUCUCUCACUUAACUUUGAACUGGGUGUUCUCUUCUCUAUAUUUCCCGUAUCUUUUUCACCAUAUUCUCCUUCACUUUUUCCUUUUUUUUCUUUUUGGUUGCAGUGUGGCCCUUCCUCUAUUUUGGGUUUGUUUCCAAUGCUGUUUUUCUUCUGUCCAACCUACCUGUGAACAGGAUUUUAUGUGCCGUGGCACGGGGUCGUGCCGGAAACUUGCUCGGCACGGUGUACCUACUCCAUGCAAGCCCGGUCGUCCGCAGCACGGUCCGCAGAUGUCUCUUUAUAUUCACGAGCCGCCAUAGCACCUGUGCUGCUAGCCGUAACUCUCCGAUGCGUGUGGCCGGUUUAAAAAAUUCUUUGUGUGCCGACACAUAAUAGCAUUAUUCUUUCAUUAAAAUAUUCUAACUAUUUAUUAUGUCUUUUUUAUCACAUCUUUUAACUUUAUUGAGGAAAUUACUUACUAAUUUAAAAAAUAGAGGGUUUUGAGCUGUCUGCAUUGGUACGAGAUCUGUAUCGUACCGGUAUCUUAUUGGGACGGUACGGUACGGUAGAUACGGUCGUACCGACGGGGCACUUAAAACCUUGCCUGUGAAGGCCCACUUCCCAGGGUCAUCUAUUCUAAAAGCAUGCUUAGCCCUCUUAACAAGGUUUUAAGUGCCGGGCGUGCCGUACGGCACGCCCCGUGCCGGUUACAGGGGGGGUAUCGCACCCCCCCGUGUGUCGGCGGCACGCUGGUGCGUGCCGCUGGAGACAAAGCGGCACGUACCAGCGUGCCGCCGGCACGUACCGGCGUGCCACCGGGUUUUUUUUUUUUGACUUUUUGGCUUUUUUUUUUUUUUUGUUCUCUGGGAUACAACCCCCAGGCCAUCUAUAUUGUAUUUUUUCCUUUUAUCUUAUAUAUUUGACAUCGUGAUGCCUUUUUGUCAACUCUUUUUUUUUUUUUUUUUUUUUUGCCUUUGGCUUUUUUUGGUUUUUCUUUUAUUAAAUUAAAAACUUAUAAUUUAACUUAUUAUUUAUCUGAUCCAUAUGUCGGCCCUGAGCCCUCCGCUUCCACCACUGAUAUCCAUUUUUUCUUCACAAAAUAUUUUAUCAAAAUUUGUCGCACGCGAAACUUUCGAUGAAUCAAAGAAACAAAAAUCGAUUUCCUAAACAAAUUUUGAUCAAUAUUUUUAAUAAGAACAAAAAAAAAAAAAUAUAGAUGUAAUAUUGGGAAUAUAUGAAUUUCUCACAAUGCCAGCAAUACUUGUAUCAAUAUUGUCAAAUAAAUCUUGUAUCCGCAGAUAACAAUAUGACAUAUGAUCCAGCGCGACGAUCUAUGUGAAAUUAAGCAGUCAUCUCUAUGUAAAGAUGUAAAUUUAAAUAAUUAUUGUACUGUGAAUUUUAUUAUUAUAUUUUAAUUUCUAUUCUAUAUCAGGUAUAGCUGUAUUUUACUUACAAAAAGCUUUCAUGCAUGUUAUUUGAUGAGUAUAGUAAGAUGUACAUAAUAAAUAUUCAUAUUAUUUUGUUUAAAUCUUUCAAAAUAAUAUUAUAAGAGUUUACUGGAACCAAAAAAGCUAAAAUAAGUCCGUGCCAAAGCGUGCCAGCAGGAGGUCGUGCGUAUCUGUCGGCACGCAAGCGUGCCACGUGUCGGCACGCAAGCGUGCCCGUGCCGUACCGUGCCAGGGACGUAACGGCACGCCCCCGUGCCACGGCACUUUAAACCUUGCUCUUAACCUCUUUGGCCCAACUACUGUCCAAAAUGCUAUAGCAGGGUUAAAAAGUUUAGUCCUAUUAUAUCCUAUAUAUAGGGCUUCUAAAUUUUAGGGGUGUUACAUUCCUCUUCCCUUUAAGCUUGGAUGUUCUUGUCAGGCUCAAGCAAACUCACAAGUAUUAGACGAUGUGAGUUUCGUCUCACGUGCCUUAGUCGACCUUGUGGGGAGUCGCUCUUUACCAAUAAUGAUCGCCAACCGGGAAGCCACUCUCUACCCGCUGUAUAAUCAUGGCUCAGCCGAGAUUCAUUUCACACUUCCGACUGAUGAUUGGUUCUGAUACCAACUGUGAUUCCCCACUUCCUAGGGGGUCACUCAUUCUAGAACUACUCGAGCCCUUGUAUGCUUAAUCUCUUAACCCGAGGAGCCUAGCCAUCGCCCAAAAUGCUUUAGCUAGAUUAAGAGGAUUAGCCAUAUUAUAUUAUAUAUGUAGUUAUAUUUCAAAUCUUGGGGGUGUCAUCCUGCAACAAAGAUUGGACUAUUUUCUCGAAUUUGUAAGCUACUUUCAAGUAAUUUGGUGGUGAUUUUUGCUUUUCCAUUGAUCGAUUAAUGUAAAUAAGAUCAUAAUAUAGCACCAAGGAUUGACGUGCCAGCCUGCCAGGCAUUGUCUGGGACGACUACCCCAUGCUGAUAAGCUUGCACCGCCAAAAUAUAAAAUAGGGUGUGCUGAGGCAUGCCGGCAUGCCAUGCCACUGAUAAACAAACACGCUCCAUCACAGUGGAACGGCUAUCUUUAAUAGGAGAUAACUAGAGUAAUAUGACAUCUCUCUUAGACGUUUCUAUUCAUGAGUCACACUUUCUGAGACCCGUUGUAAGCAUGAACAGAAGGGUGACUACAUAACAUUGGAACCUUAGCAUAAAUCUGGCAUCUUCUAGUUAAUCAGUGCUAUGAAUCUCUUUAUGUUUUGGACUAGGAGUAGCGAGAUUUUUCUGAUUAUAGAUAAGUUAGGCAUCCUUGGAAAGAAACACAUGUACUAAGUAUACAAAUGCACGUGUGCGUGCUCACACACUUUUCUGCACUUGCGUGGGUGUGCAUAUUUGCUUCUAAGCUCCACUUUCUAAAAUCAGACGUACAUGAAAAUAUUUCUUUUAUAUUCAAGAUAAUCAUGAAAUUUUUAUAAUCUGAAAUAAAUACCCAAAAGCAUAUAUUGAUAUGAGAUGUACUUAUGGUAACAAAGUAUGUUUGAAUGAUGGAAAUAUUCUUUAUGGACAUCAUAAAAGUGAUAUCAAUGAACUCUUUUGGGCAAUAUUUCAGUUAUUUUGUUGCUUUGAUCGUGUUCUUUUAGCUAGUGGUACAUCAGCAUAUUGUCUAGGGAAAAAUACGUGUAUAGGAAUGACAUUACCAUUAACAAGAAACAUGUGCAUACUUAACUAUAUUCUUAAAGGAUACAAUAGUAUGUUGGUGGCUAAGAACCGUGUAGUGGCUGUGUAAUAUGUGGGUGCAUCUGUACUUAGCAAGUUACAUAUGAAACAGUCCCCUAACAAUACAGCUAAAUGUUUUUGGUAGAGCAAUAUAAGAAUAUGUAGCAUAUGGAAGGGGGCAAACAAAAUAAAAUAUAAGAAUAAAGAAGAUAAAGAACAUCUAAAGACCUGCACAUUGAUGGUCAAUUGAUUGUUUUGUUUAUCAGCAUAACAACAAUGCUUCAUUUCCCUUGACCUUUAAGUGCACGUUUGGGUGUACGUUUUGGAUGACUUGCAGGGCCUCCAACCCAAAAACCCAACAUGCACUCCUUUUUGAAUGUGGAUGCUGACAAAUUUCUUGUCGGCACAUUGAAAACCUAUGCAAAUGGAGUUGAAGAGAACUACAUGGUCUACAAGUUGCUACCAUGUUUUUGUGAGGCAAUACAAAAGAUGUCCGAGAGAGAGGGAGAGAGGGAGGGAGGGUAUCCAAAUUACGCUAGAGGAGAUUGCCUCUGAAUUUAUGGCUAACACUCGGGAGAUAACUUCCGUUAGUUCAUGGCCAAAGUUCUUUAUCAGGAGGCUGCUUUAACUUUAACUUUUAGUUCUUUAUGGCUUUUAUCUACAGGUUGCGGCUAUAGAAAUUUGUAUACUUGAUAUUUUGGAAUGAAUGUUUAAUAGUGAAAAGUUAACCUCUUGUUACUUUAGACUAAUGUGUUUCUUGGUUACUUAAUUAUUGUCUCGUAUAUCAUGAUAAUUGUUCUUCUAUUUGAUUGAACAAGAUUAUCUUGUUUGUUUUUUUAUUUCAUCGAAUAAGAUUGCGUGACUUCUUGGCCUUAAAUUGCUGUACCUGUGCGCAACGCAGAUUCCUGUUCGUCCUUUCAGACACAAUGAGUAUGAGAGAUUCAUAACAGCAGCAUAUCCAUAUUACGGGGCAUCAUUUUCUACUGUAAGUACUUUUGUUAAUCUUUUUUAUUCUUAUUCUGCAUCAUUUAUCUGGCAUCAUUGCUUGAUGUUAUCUAACCAUGUCAAUGCUGUAUAAGGACCUUGCUCAACUGUCGAUCUUUAAUAUCAGACUACGCCGCAGAUCUGUAGGAUCCUUAUUUUAAUCUGUAUGUAAUUUUGAAAUAUUGGAUGAUAAAAUGAAACUAAAAGUCAGGCUUAUUCUUCGCUGAAUAAACUUUCUUGUAGAUCCUUCUCACUGGAUAAAUGGAGCUGGCAAAAUGUAAAAUUAAUUUGUGUACUCAAUAAAUAGAUUUAAAAUAAUUGGUGAACUUGACUAUGAUGGUGUGUGUAAACUAACAUGCGUGCAACUAUAUGAAUUCUAAUUGUUGUUUCCAUCAUCAAUAUUUUAAGCUUUUAAAUUUAUGUGUCUAUUUUCUCAUCUUAGUGCAUAAAUUGUAAAUUUGCUCAACAAUGCAUGCUUUAUCUUUUCAAUCUUUGCUAUGAAGUUGGUCCAACAGAUGACAGUCUUAUCAAUAGUUGUUAGAUAUUGGCGUGGCUUUUCCUCUUAAAAUUUUUUAAAUUUUCUUCUUUGCGUUUACUAGUUCAAAGCAGUUGGCAUAUUGUUAUGUGAGCUUGAGGGUUUAUUGGCUGCUGUCUUCCUAAUAUGCAAAAUUUGAGGAAUCAAAUGCUGCAAUUGAUAUAAUAAUAUGGUAUAAAUGAAAAUUUUGUUCAACAUUCAGUUAGACAUUGCAAUCUAAGCCUAGUUUCGAAUCCAAGGUUUGAGUGUAUUUUCUUCUCAUGUGAUUCAGAUCGAAUGAUAGAAUCAGAUUUUCUUUUCCUUUUGGGUUUUGACCUAAGGAUGUGAUGUUCAAAUCAUUAGUUGGAGGAUUUGUACACAACUAUCCCAAAAUACCGGCACCAUUAUUUGGGCAGUAUUAUGUAUCUUGAUAUUGUUUUGAAUUUAUGCAAAUUAGAAAGGGUCCAUGCUGAUGAAAUUCCUUUUGACUUUUUUGUUGCAGAUGGCGGGAUUCUUCAUCUUCUCCAUUGUCUAUCUUUAUCAUAAGUAGAUGGUAUCAGGAGAAGAUCCGGUUGCGGCCGCUGCUUUUUCCCAGUGUUGGUCAUAUUUUGACUGCAAUGGGAUAGGUGGCUUUUUAAGUUAUUCAAGCUUUUAGCUUUAGCUCAUUUAACAUGCGCUCCAUCAUUAUCUCUAGUACUAGUGUAGUGUUUGUUUUAGAUCAGUUUUUAAAUUUUAUAUGCUACAAUCCGUUCGUUUUUCCCCCCUUCCCCAGUGCUAUGCAAAAUACAAAGGGACUAGAAAAGGUUGGAGCUGCGGAAUGCCAACAACAUUACUAGGUUAACAAACAUACGAUUAUUGUUCGAUGUUUUUGUCUAUUUGUUCACAUUUCUGCUACUAUUUUAGCAAAAUUGUAUUUUUUCUAUUUGAAAUAACUAGAUCGCCUUUGGGUGGUGAAAGGGCGUUGCACUUGGUUCGUAUUGUAAAAGAUUCUAGGAGUUGCUAAAUUAAAGGAAUGUCAUUCAAACAAGAUUUACUAGGGAAUAUAAUAUUUUUGUGUUUGGUUUGAUUGAUGAUUUUUCGUAGAUUACUAAAGGGAUAAUUUCCUUAGUACACCUGAUAUUUACAUAAAUAUCCCUUUAAAAAUUGAAAUAUCGUAAAUACCCCUCUAUAUAUGAAAAACAUUCAAAAAUAGCCUUUAAAAUAAUUUUCUGUGAAAAUGUUAACUAGCGGACCUAUAUACCAAUUUUAACCUUAUCACAAUUGCCCUUAUAAAAUUUUCAAAGGUCACUGACUUAUUAUAAAUUUCAUAAAUGCUCUUCAAAUUUAAAAAUUUCACAUCGAACUUAGUUUGGCUCAACGGUCACUCUUUCAGAAAUGCCCUCCUAAAAUUAGUACAUAAUCCUUCUUUCAUGCCUUUAAAGAAGACCAAGCGAUUGAGUAAAGAAUCUCACGCCUUGAAUGCAAAGUCAUAUUUUAUUUAAAAAUGUUGAUCUUCGUUGUAAGACUUAUAUUGUGUAAGACACUUCGUUAGAGAAAAAUUAUAAGUUUUUAAUAUAAUGAUUUAGAUCUAGAUAUGAAACCUAUAUAAGUCAUUUCAUCAGAAUUUCUCUAUCGAUCAGCUAUUCAAAUAAGAUAAUAUUUUCAUCAUGUUAAAUAUUUUCAAAUGUUUUAUUGUGCAUCUUGUCUUUUAAAAUAAGCUUGAUGUCCCUAAACUUUUAUAAAUAUGCCAAAAUAGCCCACCAUGUCAUCUAAUGUUUAUUUGUUGGUAGAAUUUAAAAUCUAUAGAGAUAAAAAGCAUUAUAAUUAAGAGAAUUGGCUAAUAUAAUCUAUAUCAUAGCAAAUUAACACACAAACAGACUAAUAUAGAUGUAUGAAGAAAUUGAUGCCACUAAAAUACAAAAUAAAAUAGUGCAAGCCACCAACAUACAUUAGUUUUAUAUUUAUCCAAAUACAUUUUGUUUCACAUUUACAUCACAUUUUUCUUUUUAAACACUUCUUAAGAAUCUAUAAUAACCAAAAAGUGCUAAAAAGUAUUUGAAACUAUCCACAACCAAAAUAGCCAAAAAGUAUGUUAAGAGCUAUGCAUCACUAAAAUAUCACUUCGAAGUUUGUGCUAGAAAAUGACAUCAACAAAAAAGUAGUUUUUGAGAUACAAAUGAGUGUGUUGAGAUGCAGUUGAAGGUUCAAUAUUGGAGAAUAUGGAAAAAGAAAGGCUAUCAAAGAAUGGAUCAUGCAUUGGGUCAUCCAUUACUUCUGUUGUUCGUUGGGGUCCUUCACUGUUGGUCGAUUCUCUAGUGCAUUGUGGCAUGGAAGAGAGCCUCUUUCAGAUUUUUUAGUGCAAUAGCCCUUCCCUAAAAUUUUAUUAUAAAAAUAGACUCGUUAAAUUUUUAUUUAUAAAUAUGGUCCUAUAAAAGCGGUGAAUGAUUCACUGCUUUUAAAAGCGGUGAAUCAUUCACCGCUUUCUUUCUUUUUCUCACUUUUUUUUUUUUUUAUAUUUCUGAUGAAUCAUUCACCGUAUUUAGAGGUCUUUUUAUAAUUAUUUUUUUAAAAAAUUAUUUUUAUAAUUAUAAAAAUCGAUAGGUUUAUUUAUAAAANCUUUCAGAUUUUUUAGUGCAAUAGCCCUUCCCUAAAAUUUUAUUAUAAAAAUAGACUCGUUAAAUUUUUAUUUAUAAAUAUGGUCCUAUAAAAGCGGUUUAUAUUUCUACGAUGGUAAAAGCGGUGAAUGGUUCACCACUUUUAUUCUUUUUCUAUUUCUAAAGAAGAGUUAUGAAUGCGAUGAAUCAUUCACCGUAUUUAGAGGUCUUUUUAUAAUUAUUUUUUUAAAAAAUUAUUUUUAUAAUUAUAAAAAUCGAUAGGUUUAUUUAUAAAAAAAAUUCGCCUCUGUCCCUUCUUUUUGGGCCUUUCAUUUUUGGGAUUAUAUUUGGCGCUGUACAUGUAAAAUAUGUACCGGUCUUUUGUCUCUUUCUAUUUUUGGCUUGGCUACUACAAUAUGCAAUAAUUAAUAAUCGGAUUAGAUAGAUGCAAAAUGUGCACUUUAAAUAGAUGCUCGAAUUCAAUUAGUAAUAUGAAUGCAACUCAAUUACCUAGAUCCAAAAGGCGUAUCAGAGGUGGAUGCUUGAGUUCCACAUUGAGGUACUUCUAAUGGUACUGUUGUACCCAUAUACAUUGGAUUCUUGCAUUUUUUUACUAUAACGCCCAAACUGUCCACAUCUUUUACACUUAUGCAUCAUUUUUGUUGGCUCAUCAAGUGCUCUUAAUUCUUUUUUUUUUUAGGUCUAACAGCUGGCCUAGACAUAUUUGGUGGCAAUAAAUUAUAGCUAAGAGCAGAUUUUACCCAACCUUCCUUAUUUGGCAUUGGUGCUACCUCAAAGGCAUAAGCUUCUUUGAGUUUGUGUGCGGUAAAAAUUGAGUCCACAUAUUUCUCUAUUUCUAUACCUCUAAGACUGCCUAUGAAGGCAAAAGCACGCGCACACGGUAGCCCCGUUACCUGUUAUAAUUAAAUUAUAUUAUGAAACAGCUAAAAGUAAUCCAAUCUAAAAUAUUUAGUUAAAAUAUGUUAAUAUUGUUUAGAGUUACUGCUCUAAAGAGCCUAUUUGACUAGAAAAGUAGCAAAAAGAAUCCAAUAAUACUAAUAUUAAAUGAGUUACCUUCUAGACCCUGCAUGUACAACUACUUUGAUCCAAUAGAACCUCACAUCGGUAAUUGGGACCAAUUAUUUCUGCCCUAUUGUCUACACUUCUGCAUAUUUUGUAUGAUCCCAGUCCCUUGCAAUAAUUAAAAAAAAAAAUGAAUGAGUUAAUAAUAUAUUAGAAUAAAGAAUGAAUUAUUCUAUAGUAACAUUUGUGUGCAUACUAUGCUUGCACUUCUAAUGUAUUUCAAGAAACUGAAGAAUUGCGAAAUAAACUAAAAUUCUAGAUACUUCAAGCUCGUUACCUUAGAAUAUUUGAGCCCUUAAAUCCUUUUAAAAUUAGACCCAGGGCAAGGAUUUUAUAAAAUAGAGAUUUCAAAUAUUUUCUUGUGAGAAAUAAGGAGUGUUCAAAAUAGAGAUUUUACUUGAUGUAUACUUGUUGGAGAAUAAGAUAAAACUUCAUCCUGUUUAUCACAUUAUUUAGGAAAAACUUCAAAUACCCAUCUUGUGGUUUCACUCUUUCUCACUUUACUACCCGGUCGUUUAAAGUGUAUCAAGUUAGUACCCUGUGGUUUUGUACUUUUUCACCUUAGUACCCCGUAGUUUAAAGUGUAUCAAGUUAAUCACACUUUCUCACUUUAGUACCCUGUGGUUUAAAAAUCAUAGGGUACUAACUUGAUACAAAAAUAAAAUCACAGAGUACUAACUUGAUACACUUUAAACCACAGAGUACUAAAAUGAGAAAGUGCGAAACCACAUGGUACUAACUUGAUAUACUUUAAACCAUAGGAUACUAAAAUAAAAAAAAGUGAAACCACAGGGAGGGUUUUUGAAGUUUUCCCCAUUAUUUAUUAUCUUCACGUUUCGAAUGUUGUUUUAGAUUGAAUGUUUUGUUGUUAUUGAUAAGCUUGUAUGGCUUUGAUUGUAUUAUAACAUGAUAUCGUGUAUAUAUAAAAAAGACUCUAUUCGUAUAGACAAAAAAUCUUUUAUAUAUAUAUAUAUAUAUAUAUGUGACGGAACUGUUCACGCCUUUGUCAGAUUUCUACAAACUUUGAUUUUCAAUAAAAAAAUUGAGCCCUUCCGAUAAAAACUCUUUUUAAAUUAGGCCCGGGGCAUGAUACGCUUGUUCAUACAUACAUCAGAUUUGUUUGGCAACAACAGCCAGAGAGAUAAUACUAACUUUCACUUUGAACUUUCUUAAAAAAUAACAAACAAAAAAACCUUUUGCAAUCAAGUCAAACUGUACUGCAAGCUACCAACAAUAACAAAAAUAACAAACUCCACCUAUUAGCACAUCCAAUUACAUAAAAUUUUCAUUUAUUAAAGUAUAAAAUGGCAACAUUACAAAUAAAGCCUUAAAGUUCAGCUACCUAUUUCAUGUUGUGCUACAGUUCAGGUAAGGUUGAUACUUAGUUUACCAAUAAUAUUAUCAGCAUAUUCCCAUUAGGAAAUGUAAGAAAAAAAGAAAAAAAGAAAAAAAAUACAGCACUGCUUCAGACAUUUUUCUUUCUAGUAAAAGAUCAUAAUCUUGGAUUAAGAAACUGUGGCCAUCUGAUAUUCAGGUAAAUGUGUGUGUUCUUUCACACAAAACAUUAUCCGUAAAUUCGAUAGGAUAAAUCAGAUCUUCCUGAGCAAGGCCUUGAGAUGCGGCUGCAGGCUUGUCAUAGUAGUAGCCAUCUGAACCACAUAAGAUAGUUCUCCAUCAACCACUUUAAAAUUUCUUGUGAUUUCCUUCACCUGUCGAGAUAAAUUAACAUGAAUAAACGACGAUCUUAUUUAAAAAUUGAACACCAUUGAAGAAUUCCUAAUAGAAAAAUUAAUUUUGGAAGAUUAGCAUCUAAUUGUUUUGAUAGUAUUCUAACUCAAUUCUGUACAAUUAACGCAAAAUUACUGAUAACAUUAAAAAGAUUCUAGUUUAGAAGCAUCAAUACAACAACGUCCUUAUAAUUUAUAACAACUCGAUUAGUUGCUUCUAUAUAAUGCAACAAAGUUGCUUUGCUGUUAAAAUAUUUUGCACCUAUUAUUAGUCAAUAACAGUUACUUAUGCCUAAAUACUAGUGUAUAUCUAUGCUAUUUUCCUGAUUAAGUAUUACUACCUGAAAAUUGUUUGAUACUUAGGAGUUGACUCAAAUUUCCAAAUUACAAUUAUUGGCACAGAUGGUAUUUCACCGGCCAAUAAAAGAACUUACUGGCACUGUUAAUAUAAAGCAAUUGCACAUCAUAUGGUAAACUGCAAAAGAUUUUGAAUAUGCCUAUAAAAGUAAUUAUAUUAAUCAGGAUAGCAGUACUGUAGGUAUCCAUAUCAAAUAUUACUGCGAUAUUUUUAGUAUCCAUAUGUUUGCAAUUACACUCAUAAAAGAGUAAAUGAAACAUUACAUCGUAUUCGCCGCUAAGCUGUUAAAUGGAAAAGUUAAUAAUUGACGAAGUGAGAGCAUGAGAACCAAAUAGAACAAAAAAAAAAAAGUUAAAGAACUGCAAUUGCACACAUAAGAAGCGUAAGGUCAUUUUGGAGCUGUCCCUUCUUUGUAUGUGUAUUCUUAAAUAGGUGCCUUGGUCAGUGAUGCUGGUUUUUUGCAUUUCUGCUAGUUAACUAGCAGAAAUAGUUUCAAUUGCAUAUCCACAAAAGUGCUAUGUUCUUAAACUUAGAUAAUCACUAGAUAUAGCCAGGAAAAAAGGCGAAGAUAAAUACAUGACUUCUAAGAACUAGAAAUCAUGUGUUUGUAGAUGUUAACAAAGUUGUAGAUUGUUGUGAAAAAUCGAUGGCUCAGGAUCGAUUAUUUUGCACAGUGAGUGUAUCUCCCAUGCAUCGUGCACUUGCUAAACAUGUUUCACUCAAUCUGCUUCGUGUGUUCUGAUGGAUAGCAGAUAGAGGUUACUAAGAAAAUUUCACAUUAGUGUUUGCUUUUGCUUGGAGGUUGCAACAAAAAUCUGCCCAAGGCCUAUUGGACCAUCACUGCACACUAUCAUAUCAAACUAUCAAACUUUAAGACUACAUGCCGCAUGUUCUACUAUCCCAUAAUGAGUUAUUACUACAUUGGAGCUUAUGCAUGUAUGUAUUUAUAGCAGAUAAAAGCAAGGAUUUAAGUGCCGUGGCACGGGGUCGUGCCGGAAACUUGCAGGCAUGGUACGGCAUGGUGCAUGUCGGACCGUGCCAAUGCGUGCCGGUCACAAAAAAUAUGUGUGCCGACACGUAAUGGUAUGAAAUAUUUAUUUUAUUUAGCAACAAAAUAUGCCAAUUAUUUAUUAUAUAUUUUUAUAAAAUCUUUUGAACUUUAUUGAGAAAAUUACUUACUAAUUUCAAGAAUAGAGGGUUUUGAGUUGUGCCAUCGGCACGGGGCUGUAUCGUGCCGAUAUCUUGCUGGCACGAUACGGCAACGGUAGAUAUGGCACGUGCGAUGGACACUUUAAUCUUUGGAUAAAAGCAUGUGAAACACAAAAGUAUGGAAUAGGCUAAAUUCUUUAUCUUUCUCGACUUAAGUGGGCAAUCGAACGAAAUGCAGUAGGGCAGUUUGCAUGAUGCAAGCAAUUCUAGUUUUUCUGAAUCCAAUGUAAAGAACAGGAAAAACAUAAUAUAGUUAAAAUGAUGUCUAUCAACUGAGAGUACCUUUGAUGCAUUUCCAACAAGCUCGCUUUGAAGUGUUACAAUUUUAUUGGCAGCAUCAUAGGAGCCUUUCUGCAUAUUGGUGAACCAAAAACUGGUCAAAGACAUAAUACUUUUCAUAUAAUGAUGGACAAUCUAAAUGACAGAAAGAAACCACUUAGCAAGGUCAUGAAGUAUAGACCUCAAUCAAUAAAAUCAAAUAGAUUAAACCUAAUACUUAGGCUCAGGGCCUCCUAAAAUUUUUUAACACUAACCAUUACAUAUCUCCUCUAUAGUGUUGACAACAGGAAUAGGAGGUGGCCAUUGUUUAGCAAUAAUGCUAACUGAAAUGGUUGCUUGUUUGUCCCACAAAUCAUAGGCAAGUUAAUAAUGGACCCUAAUGGACCAACCAACUUCUUCGUCCUUGACUGAAAUUCCCAAACUUAAAUUACCUCACAGAACAAACUUUAUCCGUCAGACUAGGUGCAUUUUUCAAGUUAUGUUCGAGUCACCUUAUCCAUCUUAUUUUUGUGAGAUGUAACAGACCAAGUCAAGACAAGGCAAGUUGGUGAGGACAAGGAAUGCAACCUAGAGUCCAAUCAGAAAAACUCCGUCAAUCUGUCCCUCCACAAGAACUACCAACUUUCAAAUUUAUCCAAAGUCACCACUCUCUGGUUUAAAAAGCAAUAUUAGUUCACUACCCUAUGUGCCAUUUAAUCAAUUAGAUCAUGUUCAAAAAAGAUCUUUUGGAAACAACAUCGACCACCAAAUCUUUGUGAUCUAUGAUUUUCCAGAUUUUUCCUUCCCAACUGAUCGUAGGCUAUGCGUGAGGGCUUUGAUAUUCUGUUUGACUAUUAUAUUGUAUAAGAUACCCACUUGAAUAUGUCAUGAAUAUGUACUUUGAUAAUUAUUUUACAUAUUUGAUUUUUAAAAAUGAGUAAACUAUGGAGAUACUGCUUGGAAAAUUCUGGGUACUUAUUGUUUACUUUGAUAGAAGGCUCAUUAAGAUGAAAACCCUGCAAAAUAAUCUAAAACAGAUUUCCAGCUUUUAUUGGCUAAUUAGGUAAAGAUGAUUGCUUAGUUAUAAAAUCAUAGGUUGCAAGACAAAUUUCUCGCAUACAAAACACAAAAGCAAAGAAGUGAAACAUAUUAUCGAUACGUUCAUAUAUGCGUGCUCAUGUCCUCAAAUAAUUAUGUAUUUUUAAUGCUCUCUCUAUCUGUUUCUAUCACAUGUGUAUAUAUAGGGAUGUAUGUACUUUAUUUUCAUAAAAUCUGUAUCCCUGUAUAUUUCAGUCACAUUCCUAUUGUUAUCUCUGUCCAAUGCAGAACAAAAAGGGCCCAAACCAAACCCUUCCUUAUAUACUGUCAUGGGACUCGAAUUUAAGUGAUAAGCAAAUACGGAAGCUUUAUUGGUAUUCUUAAUGGAUUUCUGAAUAAUAUGCUGGAUUUUGAUAUUUUCUCUAUGUAGGGUGUGCCAAGAUUUUUAUAUUCAGAUUAAUGUGUCAGUUUGUCUAACUUUAGAACUAACGUUGUCUAGAAUUUUCCACCCGCAACAUCAGUUUCAUCUGUAAUGAUGAUUUCUAUAGAAUGCGGUUAUCUAGGGUCCAUUAUGAAGGAAAUAAUUUCGUAGACGCUCUCUGAGCAUAGUAAUUUAACAGUUGAUAUUAGACCUCCACUGGAGUGCAAGGCAAGCUUCCUGAAUUAAAUAUUUGUCGCACUGGUACAUGAAGUCUUGAAGACUAAGAAUCCCCUGUAAAAAUGGAAUAAAUCAUUCAUUGGAUAUCCUCUUCUGACAUCCAAAUAGGGUACUUUGACACUCCAUAUAGUAAAACCAUUGAGGGAGUAGCAUCCAAACAGGGACUUUAAACCUUGACACUCCAUAUAACAAAACCAUUGAGGGAGUAACAUAUUUGAAAUUAAAAGGCCUCAAAGCUCAUAAUAUUCUCCAGACAAGAAGAUAAAGAAAUAAAGGCGCUUAGUGAUUAGUAGACUAGCAUCAUUUUUGUUUUAUGUUUAUAUCAUUCGCCAUUCGACGGUACUAAAAGAGAGAACCUCAUUUUAAAAUAUGUUCUUUGUCCCCAAACUGAAAAAGGAAAAAAAGGCAGUUAAGUAUUAAGGUUCUCUUUUGUCUUAACCAAGGUGUUCAAGGUGGAGAUAGCAAACUAUGAUCGCCUCUACGUGCCUCCCAUCUAAUUCAAAUCAAAAAGGCAUACUAAUCCCCAAUCAGUCAUUUCAAGUUUUAAUAUUUUUCGCUUAAUCACAGUCUAGUGACCUUUAAAGGUAUUUUCAUCUUAGAGAGUAUAAUACCCCUUCUGCCAAACAAUAUCAUUUUAUAGUUUUGUUAACAACCAAUAGCUUAUAAUAGAUGUGGUUAAUAGCAGUUUACAUGCGGCUAAUAAUUAAUCAUCGUCCAUUCAAGUCGCCUUUAGAAGGAGAAAGUGGGAAAAUCCUUAAUCUAAACUAGAAAACGUUUCGGAUUUCGAACUCUAUGGUAAUUUCAAUAGCAAAUCUCGCGAGGGAGUGACACCCACAAAAAAAGGGCGGGCUUUGAAUGGUGCUCACGUCAAAUUAAACCUAAUUAUUUUAACUUAGCUUGUCUAUUUUUCUGACACACAUGAAACUGUUCUCUUCUUCCCUUCUUACUGUCUCUACUUCCUCUUCUCAUCUCUAUAGAUUACUUUCUCUUUUUACGCCACCAUACAAUGCUUCAAUGUUAACUUUAACAAUGUAAAUAAAAACUAGCAACAGGUAACAAAAUAAUUGGCCAGAUCAUGCGAAGAGAGCAUAUAUAGAGAGUGGCGUCAAAUUGUUGUUUACCUGGACCUCGACGAUGCCGGUGCUUUGCGCGAGGACGACUUCGAGGGAGCCGUCGGGUUUGGGGCGCCAGUAGCCGCUCUCCGCGUGCAUCGGCUCCCCCGACGGCAGCUUCCACGUCUUCUGGCUGUACGCUAUCACCGGCUACUUGGGAACGAAAAUUAGAAAUUAAUAAAAAUCAACAAAUACCCAAAAGAGAAAGAAAAAGAAACAGGUCAGAAGAAAGAGAGAGCACCUUUCCGGAGUGGGAGAAGAGGAGCUCCUCGCCGUAGCGGAAGGAGUUGAUGGUGGGGAAGCCGCCCUCGCCCUCGCCUCGCCAGCGACCCAAGAGGUGGGAGAGGGGGACGAGGGCCGGGUGCAGCGGCAGAGAAGCGGAUUCUGCACCUGCGCUUUCCAUGAUUUCCCGGCAGCUUCUUCAAACUGUCGGACGGACUCUCUCCGGUGUUUACUAGUCUUGCGAGGCUUCAGCUGAUGGAGGAAGCCGUCGCUCUACCAUGGGCAUCGGGACGACCGCCGUUGCAGCGAACUCUUAUCUCCGAAUUCAUCGCUGUCUCCUUUGCAGAUGUCGCACGCAGUUCUUGGAGGGCUUUUUUAUAAAACAACCCUCUAAAAUUUUAAAAUUUGCGAAAUAACCCGCUCAAAAUUUUAUUUGUAAAACUAACCCUCUUUUCGCCACGUCGGCGCCACGUUAGAAUUUUUUUUAAAGGCGGUGAAUCGUUCACCGCGUUUUCCCAUUUCUUUUAAAGACGGUGAAUCGUUCACCGUCUUCUCCUAUUUCUUUUAAAGGCGGUGAAUCAUUCACUGCUUUCUCCCAUAACUUAUUUACUGUUAUUUUCUAUAUUCCAUAUAUAAUCCUAACAAUCACAUAAAAAUUCUAACAAAUUACAUAUAAUCUUAACAACUUUUAAAUCCUAAUAAUUUAUCUAUAUAAUUUCAUAUAAUCUUAACUGCCUUCAUACGAAAUUAUAUGGAUAAAUUAUUAGGAUUUAAAAGUUGUUAAGAUUAUAUGAGAUAUAGAAAGAAACAGUAAAUAAAUGAAAGGCGGUGAAUGAUUUACCGUUUUAAAAGAAAUAGGAGAAGACGGUGAACGAUUCACCGCCUUUAAAAGAAAUAAGAGAAAACGGCGAACGAUUCACCGUCUUUAUAAGAAAACCCUGACGUGGCGCCUAUGUGGCGAAAGGAGGGUUAGUUUUACAAAUAAAAUUUUCACAUGGUUAUUUUGCCAAUUACAAUUUUUCAGAAGGUCAUUUUAUAAAAAAGCCCGUUCUUGGACCAGCAUGUAAUGUUCGAACACUAGCGUAGCGUUUGGUUUGGGUAUAAGCAACAACUAGUUAUUAUAUUAUAAAUUGGUACAAAUAUGGGGAUAAAAAAAAUAUCGUUAGGAUAAAAAUUAGAUUUUUUCUAAGAUUAAAAAAAAAUAGUAUUUAGAUAAAUAAUAUGGAAUAAAAAAAAUAGUGAAUUGUUUUAUAUAAAAAAUGAAGGUGUUGAUGGAAAUAGUUAUACCCGGUUAUUAUAGAUAACCGAGAACUACUAUUCUCUGGUUAAAAAAUUAGCGUUUGGAUAUAAAAAGGGAUUAUCUCUAUCCCUAUCCCCUAUCCAAAUGUUGCCUAGGGGUGUGGGUCGUUCUCGUUCGCCAAUGGAUGAAUGCAUUUGUCCCAAUUUCAUAUGCCAGGUUUUCAUUUCAAUUUUAAUUUUAAUUUUUAGGUGAAUAAAAUUUUCUCUAAUUUAUUUUUCUUUUCAAUCCGACUUGGAAGGGCUGGAUUGAAAAUUAAAUUCAGACAGAAUAAAUUUAUUCUGAUUAAAUUUAAUUUUUUUAAGCUUAUUGUUUUAAUUAAAAUAUAAAUUUACGUUUAAAAAUUAUAUUUAUAAAUUUUAAUUUUAAUUUGAUCUAAAAUUAAAAUUUAAAAUUCAAUCAAGUAUUUCGAAUCUAAUUUAUAAAUUUAAAUUUAAAUUUAAAAUCCAAAGUUUUAUUCAAAUUUUAUUUAAAUAUAAAAUAAAUUAACGGAUUCAAAUUGAAAUUGAAAUUAUAAUUUUAAGUUUGAAUUUGAAUAAAUCGAAAUUUAGUUUUAUUAUUUUGAAUUAUCCGUUCAAUUUCAAAUUUUAUAUUUUUUAAAAAAAUAUUUAAAAUUUUGACAAAAAAUUUUAAUAUUUAAUUUUCAAUUUGAAUUUCAACUAAUAUAUUAUAAAGAUAAAAUUGAUAUAUUAAUUUGAUUACGUUUCUCUGAACCAAACACUGAGAGUGAGAAUGAUUUAUUCUGAUUCCGAUUCAGAUAGUGAACCAAACAGAAUGAGAUAAUGAAUCAUUCAAAUUUCAUUUCUAGUUUAUUCUCAUUCUGACUCCAAUAUCAAUUCCGACUUCGAACCAAACACACCAUAAUAUUCAAGGGUUAAUUUCAUACAGCACCCCUAAAACAUAUUGAAUAGAAAAUAUAUUUAUACAAAAUUUAACUUUUUAUAGUUAUUCGUUCAAAAAUUCAGUGAUAUUCAUAUUAUUCCAAAAACAUAAAGAAGUUAGUACUUCCGACUUUUUGACCUAUAAAUUAAGAAUUAUUGAUUUGAACGAUAAUGAUCCCCUAAAUCUUUAGUGAUUCCCCUAAAUUAGAAGCACUAUGAGUGGUGCUUCCAAAAGUAUUAUAGUAGGACUCAAAUUUCUAUAGGUAUAAUCAAAUUUAGUACCUAUUUUGGCCCUGCUUUUUUUGGUUCCAAAAGUCCAGUUAACUACAAAAAUUCGUUUGGCAUUUAUGUAUUGCGUUGGUAGGCUGCAAAAACUUGCUUUUUAACAUCCUAACAGCAUAAGCUCCGAAGCUUUUGUGUUGGGAUGUAAAUGGAUACGAAUACCUGAAUUUUAUUCGAAUCCAAAUUCGAAUAAAGCAGAUUUUAUCCGAUAUAAAUGGAUAUGAAUUCGGAUAUUGAUAUUAAAAAAAAAAAAAUCUGACGGAUUCAAGUUUGGAUAUGAAUAUUUUAAAAAAACACGAACCCGAUCCGAAAUCAAAUCCGAACCGAAUCUGAAUCCGAACAAAUUUAAUUUGACAUAAUAUAUAAAAGAACUCAAACUACUAGAUCUGAACCUAAUGAUCUGAAAUCAACAACCAUUUGUUGGGCUAUAGAACUAUCAUUUCUUUUUUAAUUUUUUAAAAAUCUUUUGUUUUGUUUCUUUUCUUUAUUACUAUUUUUAAUUUUUUUUGAGAAUAGGUAGCAAGCGACCUGCUUCAUUCAUUAAAUGUACGAAUUAAGCUACAGGGGUGAGACAACCCGGGCCUCAAAAAAAAAAAAAAAAAAAAAAAAAAACUCAAAGAAGGGCUUUCCAAGAAUCAAUCAACAGCUUGAGCCUUCUCACCACUAAAAUGGGGUCUAUCUAUAUGCCACGAAAGAUAAGAUUGUUCCUGGCCUUCCAAAUGAUCCACCAGUAUGCAGCCAAUUCAGCCAGUCCGUUUCUUCUUCCGUGUCCAUCAUACCGUCCCUUCCACCUAUCCCAGACAUCAAGAACAUCGUCACCCAACUCCCCCGCCUGGACGUCCUCGAUUCCUGUAACCAUGAUAAACUUGAUAAAGAUGCAUUGGGUUAACAGGUGGUCCUCCGACUCAUCAUAAACCCUGCACAGCGCACAAGCCGUGUCUCCAGACCACCCUUUCUUGUUGAGGUUGUCCGCUGUAAGUAAUCUUUUCUUAAGAACUAGCCAGCAGAACACUUUGAUCUUAAGUGGUAUACGGAGCCUCCAAAGCAAGAUACCACGUCUGUCCCUUGUACCCCCAUCAUUCAUCAUUCGAUAGGCCGAUUUGACUGAGAAUAAACCAUUGCAGAAUAAACCAUUGUUGUCCCAUCUCCAACCUAUCAUGUCCUCUCCGUGGCCAACGUUAAAUCUGGUAACCCUCUCUAUGAGGUCCGAAGCGAUAGUAUUCAGGUCCCGACGUAUCAUGGGACUCGUCACCCAGGAUCCUAGUCCAAUUCUAGCCAUCACUUCCGGCGCACUUCGAAACCAUGAUUGGUUUACGCUCCAGCCGCUCAUACACUUCCGGAAAAGAUGCUUGAAGUGUGGUAUCCCCACACCAUCUGUCCAGCCAAAAUUCAAUGGAUCUCCCGUUGCCCACGGUAAAGUUGGUCCCCCAUUUAAAAAUAACGUUGGUGGUUAGCACCCCUUUCCACCAAUGUGAGAGAGGCCUAAAGCCUCUACCCUCCCGUAGAGGCCUUCUUCUGCGAUAAUAUAAUGCCCGAAUAAUCUUGGCCCACUGUAGCUGGGGUGCAGUGUGAAAUCUCCACCACCAUUUGACUAGUAACGCCUUAUUCAUGCCCGCUACAUCUAAAAUGCCUAAUCCGCCUGCCAAUUUGCUCAAGCAAACGUUCUUCCAAGCAACUACCCUUUGCCAGGGGAGUUACUUUGACCCCUCCAGAAGAAAUCCCUGCGUAGAGCUUCGAUUCGCUUGAUCACCCACCUGGGUGCCUUAAACACCAAUAGAAAGUAAAGUAGUAUGUUGGUGAGCACCGCGUUGACCAGCGUAAGUCUACCCCCUCUUGAGAGUAGUUUGGCUUGCCAUCCAUCGAUUCUGUACUGCAGUUUUUGAACAACUCCUCUCCAUACCUCCUUUGUGGGGGGUUUAGGUGAGAGGGAGAACCCUAAGUAAGUUGUGGGGAGUGAGCCAACUUUACAGUCGAGUAAAUGAGCAAGUCUUGCCGCCCUCCUUUUGUCCCAGAUAAUAGAGCUGAGACUUUUUCUCUGUUGAUUUUCAAUCCAGAAGCCCACUCAAAUAGAUGCCACAACAGUCUAAGAUUUCUCAUAUAGCAUUUUCUGGCCACCGAGAAAAAGAAAGUAUCAUCCACAAACUGAGAAAGAGUCGUUAUACUCUCCUCCGAAGGCCCAAUAUCCUUAAAAAGGUUGUUUGAAGUGGCUUCGCCGGUCAACUUGGCAAGGCACUCAGCCACCAACAAAAAUAGGAAUGGUGAGAGUGGGUCCCCUUGGCAUACACCUCUCUUAGUUUUGAUCCAGUUAGUCGUCUCACCGUUGACCAAAACAGCUACUUUAGCGUUACAGACACAUUGUUCGACCCAGCCACACCAUCUCGCGUCGAAACCCCACCAUUGUAGAAUACUGAAUAGGAAAGGCCAGUAGAUUCUAUCAUAAGCCUUUUCGAAGGCCACUUUAAUGCCUACCCCCUCAAUAGCCUUCUUACAACCCCAUCCAAUUAGUUCGGAGACGGUGACAUACGCUUCGAUUAUGUUUCUCCCUUGCAAGAAAGCGGAUUGAGAGGAAGAGAUUAGAUCAUUCAUGCAAGCCGCAAGGCGAUUCGCGAGGACCUUCGAGAUGAUCUUUUGGAUCUCAUUAAUGAGGCUGAUAGGUCGAUAAUCCUUAGCUCUUUCCGCCCCUUCUUUCUUCGGGAUUAGGCAUAUGAAGGAAUAGUCUAAAGGAGCAGUGGAGACCCUGCCCUCAUACAACUCCUGGAACAAGUUGAGAAGGUCCCCUUUUAUGGUAUCCCAGAAAGUUUGAUAAAAUCUAAGCAGGAACCCAUCCGGUCCCGGAGCUUUAUCGCUACCCAGUUGAAAAGCCGCUUCUUUUAAUUCGUCGACACAGAACUCCUCCGUAAGCCGCCCCAACAUAGGUGCCGAGACCCGUUUGGAGGAAAAAAGCCUACUCUAGUCUCCGAACGAGUGAGGGGCCGACACAUCAGCCGAAAAAAGCUCCUUAAAGUAUCGAAAAAAAUAUAACUUCUUAUCCUCCUCAGAUUGGUAGACACGCCCGUUAUCGGUAACGACUCCGAUUCCAUUGGCACGUCUUCUCCCAUUGGCAAUAUUGUGGAAGUAUUUUGUGUUAUUGUCCCCGUCGCGUAACCAGUGCUAAUUAGCUCUGGAUCUCCACAUGGAGGCUUCAUCGUUUAAGACACCCCUUAGCUUGACUUUCAACUCCUCUCUUCUCGCUCCACACUCUUCAGUCAAUGCUCCCUGUUCCUCCGCUAAAUCGAUCAGGUGAAUUUCCUCCAUCAGGUACUUCUUAUGAUCCCGAAUGCUAUAGAACUCACUGUUGCACCACUCUUUGAUCCUUUCUCUGCAGUGUCUCAUUUUCGCUGUGAAAGUGAGCACCGCUGAACCUUUAGACGCUCCCUCCGCCCACCACCCCGGUACUUUUGUUAAGAAUCCCUCAUGAUUGAGCCACGCUUCCUCAAAUCGAAAGAAUUUAUGCCAGCCCUUGGUGCCUCGUUCAACCGUUAACAAAAUAGUACAGUGAUCCGACGUGACGCAGGGUAGCGCAACAACCUUGGAAAAGGGAAAAUCUUGAUCCUACUCUGUUGAGAAUAGGAAUCGGUCGAGUCUCGCGAGAGUCGGGGUUUUUUGCAUAUUGGACCAUGUGAAGUAUUGAUUCGUCAUUGGUGGGUCAAUUAGCGCAAGAUCACUAAUGAGAUCGUUAAACAGCGUCAUCGCUCGAACACUCCAGGUCUUCCCCCUCUGCUCAUCUUGCUUUCAAUACAAUUGAAAUCACCGCAAAUAAUCCAUCUUUUCAGACAGUGCGUUUUCAAUUGUGCCACUUCCGAGAAAAACUCCUCCUUCCCGUCCCACGUCGCAGGCCCAUAAACGUUCGUGACAUAAAAGUCAAUACCGGAUUUGACGUGCGAUAGUAGGACGGUGAUCGAAAACUUUCUCACAAGAACAUCGCGACCGGUGAACACACGUGACUUCCAACACGUGAUGACUCCCCCGGAGGACCCGUUAGAUUCGAGGAAAACACACUUAUUAAGAAAAGAUCCACCGAAACUGCGCAGAAAGGAGCUAGACACAUAGUUCACUUUAGACUCUUGCAAACAUAUUACCCUAUUACAAAGCUUAGAGAUAACCGCCCUAACGGCGUUACACUUCGAGGUGCUGUUAAGCCCUCUUACGUUCCAACUACACAUACCUAACAUAACAUAAACAAGGAUACCCAACAGCUAACACCCAAAAUGUUAGUCUUCAAGUUCUUAUGAGUUGAUUCUUUAGAUCUAUAUGUCUUUUUUAAUUUUUAUUUUUAUCUUAUAGUAUGAAUGUUUACAAUUGUAUUUGAAUUUGUAUUUUGAAACUUUAGUUUUUUGUAUAAUAUGUUUCGAAAUUUGGUAAAUAUUAUUUUCGGAUUCGGGUUUUCGAGUUUAGAAUUAGGUUUUGGGUUUUUGGUCGGGUUCAGGUUUGUUCCGGAUUCAGGUUCGGAUUCGGGUUUCGAAUCUUUGUCGAAUUCGGGUUUGGAUAUGAAUUUUUAAAAUUCGUCGGGUUCGAAUUCGGUUUCGGGUUCGAAUUUCGGAUUUGGUAGUCGGGUUCGGAUUCCGGCUUUUAAAAUUCCGUCCCGAAUCCGACUGGUUGACAUCCCUAGACGUCGGCAGUGGGAAAAAUGAAUCGCAUAUCAGUCCGUACAUCCAUUUUGCAUCCAACGACUCUAAGACCAUCGUACUCCAACCGCUCCUCGUGCCUCAAGAUUGAGAAGGAAGUAAGUUAAUUUUCUUUUAAAUAGCGAAAAUACUCGUAAAUAAAAGUUGCAAUUCAAAAGGAAUACAAGCAUUGCACUACAUUGUUUAUUUAAAAUACUUUUUAAUUCAUAAUCCUAUUUUUUUUAAAAAAAUAAUAAUAUAAACACAUGGCCAUUUUUAAAAUUUUAGUGCUUAUUUUUAGAUUGUAAUCGAGCCCUAUAUUUUUAGUUUCUUUUCUAAUUUUAUCCUUUCGAUUGAAAAAUUGGAUAAUCAAGCGUGAAGUUUUUUAGGUUUCAAAAACGAAAAAAAAAAAAAAAAUGUAUANUCGCUUUUUAUUUUACUUUUCAUUGGGCGGGGCUUAGGCGGGGCGGGGCUAUUCUUUACCUCGCCCUCCACCCCUUUGAGAGGGCGGGGGCCUAGGCGGGGCAAACGUAGGGAUCGACUCAAUUACGUUCAGGUCAAAUCAUCCUACCUCUUAUUCUUACAUGGCUAUAUCCUAUUCUAAUCUAGUCUAGGAUUAAGUCACAGCUUGCGGAACGCGAACUUAGCCCACGCUCCACGAGGUAAGAGUAUAUGUUCCACUUACCGCUCCAUUCGGGGCGGAUCGGGGCGGGAGCCGGAUUUUUGACGGAUCGGGGCGGAUUGAAGGAAGAAAAGAGUCUCCCACCUCCAGCUCCAUUUACUUGGCGGAUCGGGGGGGAUUCGGGACGGAUUAUAUUUUUUUAUAUUUUUUGUUCCCACUUACCACCCCAUUAGGGGCGGAUCGGGGCGGAGCUCCACCAACCCGGAUCCAUUUGCAUCCCUAAACUCAGCGUGCUCUAUUUAAUCUCCAUUCUACAUAACACAGUACUCGCACUGUCAUAAAUAAACAUGAUUAAAAAGAAUUUUGAACAUUUUAGAAUUAGUUUGGGUUGAAUUAAAUCGAAUUCAGAUCAAAACAGACUUCAGAGGUUCAAAUAUGAUGGAACUGCAGAAAUUAAACAAAGUACCAGAACUAAAUAGCAGUACUACUACCCAGUUGCGCAGCGAGGAAAUUAACCCCCAUUUGGGUUUUGCAAAACUCUUUUCAAGUACCGGCAUUAAUAUGCCGAGUACCGAUACUGAUUCGAGCGAGUAUUGAUACGCGGUAGAAAGUUGAUGAAAUCAACAUUCGAGUUUUGCGAAACUGGACUGAGAGUGUUGGUACUGUUUGCCGUGUAUCGAUACUAGAACCCAAGUACCGGCACUCAUUACUGUGAACAAUAGCUUUUGAGGGAUUGCAAAUAUGAUUAAAUUGGAGAUUUAGGUGCUAUCUUAUAGGCCGAUUUAUGAAGAUCCUAAAGUUUACUCAAAAGAAACAAGUUUAAUCAAAACUGAAGCUUCUAAAAUCGAAAAUUUUUGUUGAAAGAAUAACAGAUGAAAAAAAGAAAAGAAUUGUGCCGAAUUGUCGGCCCAUUUUGAAAGGACUAACCAACUUUAAACAUCAUUUGUUUUAACAUUCUAAUCAUUCAAUUAAUUUGAUAGAAAUUACAUAACUUAGAUGUAUGUUUUAUUGGAGCAAUUAUCCGAGUGACAGAGCUUCUUUUGCAAAUGUAUCAUGGAGAAACUUUUCAUAUUUUCUCAGAUUCAGCAUCCAUCACCAAAGCUUUGCAACUCAGGAGUUAUCACUCAGAUUCGCUAACACCUGAAGCUUGGACAAGAAUCACGGAGCUAUAGUUGCGGAUCGCUUAGCCACUUGGGGACUCGCACGCAAAAAGUUUUCUUUAUGAUCGUCUAUUGGUGAUUUUUCUCGGUCUAUAUUCAUUGAUUAAUUAAAUAAAAUCGCCUUAGGGUAUGUUUCCCUCAAAAAAAUACAAAAAUGUAUGUUUUAUUAAACAGGCAUUUAGUCAUCUCAGUUCCAUUAUUUAUCUAAUCAAACGGCAUGUCUAUAUCCAAUUAUUGAAGAAUCACUGCUCAAAUCGGAUAAAAGUUGAAACUUUUAUAUAGAUUUAGUAAUCAUCCCAAAUGGAUCAAAAAGAUUAGUUUCCUUUGUUUUCCAAAAAUAAAAAUACUAAAACAACAAUUUGUUUUUCUUUUGUAGCUAGAAAGGCUAGUGGAUAACAUAUCCUUCAAGAAAUAAAAGAAGGACAAUAAAUCAGAUAAAUAUAAGUGAUUAAAGCCUAAAUACUUCUCAAAAUAAAUCAGACAGUUAACAUUUAUGCUAUUCGCAUCGACACAACAACCAAAUAAAUAAUCAAAAUAGUUAAAUACGAUUCAGACUAUUUGACCUUUUUAGAAAUUAUAUUUAAUGAUAUUUUUCGACCCAGUGUUUGAAAGAAUAAAAUCUCAUUUCUUAAGAUUGAAAUUUAAAGGGAAAAUUUCUUGACUACCCCUUCAAAAAUCUGAUAUUUACAUAAAUACCUCUAUAAAAAUUGAAAUAUCGUAAAUGCCCCUCUAUAUAUGAAAAACUUUCAAAUAUAACCUUUAGAAUAAUUUUUCAUUAAAAUUUUCAUUAACGGAUGUACAUACCAGUUUUCGCCUUAUCAUAAUUGCCUUUAUAAAAGUUUUAACGGUCAUUGACUCAUUAUAAUUUUCAUAAAUGCCCUCCAACUUAUGUGGCUCAACGGUCACAUUUUCAAAAAUGCCCUCCUAAAACUAGUAAUGUAUUUCUUUCAUGCCUUUAAAUAAGAACAUUCUCCUCUCCUCCAAUAACUUAUAGGAGUUGCUCCCACUUCAUCAAAAUGAGCACUUCGCCAAGUGCUCACUCUGUUUCUUCCUCUUAUCAAGUUCCAUCUUACCAUUGCGACACACACUCUCGAGUUUGGGUAUCAAUGCAACCACAUAGUAGAGGUAAACAAUUUUAUUGUGCUCACUAUGUUUCUUCCUCUUAUCAAGUUCCAUCUUAUUAUUGCAAUACACACUCUCGAGUUUGGGUGUCGAUGCAAUCACAUAAUAGAGAUAAAUGAUUUUAUCAUUGUUCAAACUGGGAAUAAGUCGAAUUUGACCACUUUAGUUUCAAAUAAUUUUAAUCUCUAAAUAAACUAAUAUUUUGGCAACAUGCAUAACUUGAGGGAAAAAGGCAUUGCAACCUUUUCUCAUGGGUAGAUGAUGCUCAACAUACAACAAUUGAAUUGAAGUACUAGAUCGAAGGCUUGGAGGAAACGAUUGAGUAAAGAAUCACAUGCCUUGAAUGCAAAGUCAUAUUCUAUCUAAAGAUGUUGAUCUUCAUUGUAAUACUCGUAUUAUGUAAGAUAUUUAGUUAGGGAAAAAUUGUAGGUUUUUAACAAAACGACUUAGAUCUAGAUAUGAAAUCUCUAUAAGUCAUUUCAUCAGAAUUCCCUCUAUUGACCAUUGUAAGAUCUGCAUAUUCAAAUAAGAUAAUAUUUAUAUUUUCAAAUGUUUCACUUUGCAUCUUGUCUUUAAAAUAAGCUUGAUCCCUAAACUUCUACAAAUAUACUACAAUAGUCCACUUUGUCAUUUAUCGUUCUUUUUAUUGAAAGAAUUUAGAAUCGAUAGAGAUAAAAAGCAUCAUAAUUAAGAAAAUUAGCUAAUCUAUUACUAUAUACUAAAGUCCGUGGAGGUAGGUUACUAUACUGCCAUGUGUCGUCGGGCUACUUUUGGUGCACCUAGUGCACCAUGUGUUAGAAAAUUGCGUACGAAUAAGCAUAGCGGAAAAAAAAAAAUCAAACAAAUUUGGUUUUUAAAACUCAAGAUCCGAUCUCAAAAACUACGUAAUUAGGAUCCCUUAUGUUCUUUAAGAUUAAAAGAGAAAAGAAAGAUCCAAUCUUAACCUUUGCGCUGGUAGAUCUUCACCACAAUUUGAUGAUCAUGAAAUUAGGUUCUCUUGAAGCCGCGUACACUUCUGGCCUCUAUAGGUAUACACACGAGACUGAUGAUUUGAUCGAUGUCCUCACCGGAAUGCUAGCUCCCUUUCAAAGAGCGUCUUUUUUGCUAGACGAAAAGAGAUAAAGAAAGCGAGAGGAAGAGAGAUGACGGCUAAAAUUUUCGAAAAACUCCCGUAUAUUAAAUAGAGAGAUAUAAUCCUCUUUUAAUAAUAUAAUAAUCAUUAAGGAUAAGAACAAAUUUAGAUUUAAUUUUUUUUUUUUAAUUGGUUAGAUCGAUCAAAUCCUAAUUUGAUUAGAUUUGAACUUUAUCCUAAUUUGAUCAUAUCAAAUUAAUAAUGCAAUAUUUGCACAUAAGUCAUCUCAUAAUUUACUAACCGUUAGUAAGUCCUUUCUUGUAACAUUUAUACUUUGAUACCACUAAUUUGUAACAAUUACAAAUUAGUCAAAUUAUCAACAUAUUAACAAUUAGGUCCUUUCGACGAUUCAAAAAUCAUUAUCUAGCUAUCCGAUCAGUCAUAAUUUCUUAUGUGUGUGACUCCAUAGGUUCGAUUCUAUUUGGUAGUUUGAUAUAUUUUGAUCACUAUCAACAAUAUCACUAAAACUCCUUUCAGUGGAUCAGAAAAAUUCCAACUCAACCCAAUGAAAAUUAUAAAUCAUCUAGAUAAUUCUUAUGAGUCUCACAAUCCACCAGUGACACCUAACAGCAUAUAGUGGCAUUCCAAUAGAAUGGAAUACUGAACUACUUGGUGCAGUUAUCGUGUGAUACAACCCUUCUAUCAUGAGUCCCGACUAGAUGGAGAUCAUAGAAUAACUCGUUAAACUCCAUCGUCUGUCAUGUGUCCAAUUUAUUCGACUCGAGUUUCUUAUAUCGAAACCCUUUUCCGCUAUUAACUUUGCCUUGGCCAAGGUCUUCUAAACUUGGUCUCAUAAAUCACAUAGGACUAAUGCCUCUAUCUAUUAAAGGAUAUAGAUUCUAUAUAAAUGCACACCCUAUUCCUAUAAUGAACCUAGUGCAGCCAACAUGUACCACAAGGAUCCGAAUGGCUAGGGACCAAGUGUAUGUACAGUCAAACUACAGUAACCUCAUUGUGAAUAGCCGAGGCACUACAGGUCAAAGGAUCAGUCACACUAUUGCAAUAUUAAGUAAGUCACUGACGAGUGAGUAAACAUAUAAGUGAUUUCUCACGUUGGUCACACUCAGUACCCUUGUUCUUUAAUAACCACCUGCAUUUUUGCUCAGUGUUCCUAUACUGUUGACUCGAGGCUCGUCUGUCGAAAAUGAAAAACGACAUAUGCACCAAUCUCACCGGAUCAAUCACCAUUUCCGUGAUGAUCCAUCGAUCGGGAGCAUUUAGGAACUAACCACCAAUGUCUCAAAUUCUCAACUCUUGAGAAUACAUGUCAUCAUCUUAUUAAUUUCCUGAACGAUUCAUGGAUACAUACAUCUCCAAAUUUAUUCAUAAUAUUUUUGUCACGCCCCAGAUUCCUCGUUUUUUCGGGUACGCUAACAGACCCGCCGUGUACAAAAUUUUUUUUCCUAUAUACGAAGUGAAGCUGUACAUGUACUUGCAAUCAUACAAUACUACAACCAGUAGGAUAGAGCUGCUAGUAAGGAACAAAAUAUAAAUAAAAUAAGAAGUUCACUAUACAUACAUAACAUCCAGUUGUACAAAACGCUCGCUCCAGCGAGAUACAACAAGUAUGUAUAAGAACUCAAAACUACCACUACCUGUAGCUGGUAUACUCUAGAUCAGCAGCAACUGGGAAGGGAUCUAACUUGCGACUCCCUUUCCGCGGUCUGAAUCAGCAGCAGCAGCAGCCACAGAAGAAGGCUCUGCAAAAGAUUCCAACAACUGGGCGUGAGAACUACUACAAAAAGAAGUAGUCCUCAGUGGGUACCGCUACCGACCUCAACGGCUUGCCCACUAAGUCUACAGAUGUAUGCUCAAAUGAUAAUAAGGAAACUAAAAACAAUCUACAGCUACAUGCCACUACACUAUCAUGAUUCGACACUACUAUCUGUAGAAUAAAACAAGUUGACCCAAACUCACUAGGGAUUGUAAAUAUACCCGUCCUAGGGACUGUGAGCACACCUGUCCCGCCUUUCAAAGCUAUACAGCUACCUCCACACUAAACAGUCCGUAGAGAACAAGUCCAACAAGGACACAACGACGCCAAUGCAAACGCACAAAGCCCGACUCCGGAGUGGCACUCGUGGGCGCUACCCAACCGAGUAUGCAAGCGUAUCUCUGUCGAGCUCAAUCAGGCUCUCACAGGCUAUAGUCAAGUAAAAAGGGUCUAAAGAUCUAACUCAUGUGCCUUCGGCACAUUCUAAUGCAAAAACAACAAUCUGGGUCCACCGUCAAUUCUGACGGCACCCGACAAUCCGGAACAGCCUAAACACUGCUGUAAAACAUAAGCUCGGCAUCUCAGAAUGAGUGUAAUUACAUUCUACACUAUCCUGGGUAUCCACCGCCCACAAACUGCGGUGAUACAACCAAACUACGGCUUCUAGAGCUAAAUAUGGUAGUUUAAGCAUAUGACGGUGUAGAAUCGUUGAUUUUCUCCUAAGUCAUAUCCAAGUCCAACAUGUAUAUAUGUAGCUAACAUACUAGGCUCCAAUUCAGAUUUUAAUCAUGCUAAAUCAAUGAAUCGAGCAACUACAAUAUGCUAAACAAAACGACGAAUACAUGUCGACUAUAUCAACUUAGAAGGAAAUUCGCAGAACAGAAUUCAGUAAGCAUCAUAUUUAACCCACCUCUCACGCAACUCCACGGCAGCGAUAAGGUCACGAAAAUACCAGGAGGCUCAGCCGAGAUCACUCUGCAACAGCCACAAUACUUCUCCAAGGCUCUACACAUCAAGGAUACUAUAAUUCCAUCAAUCAUAAGAAAUUUAGCACUUAAGCUUAACUUUUCCCCAAUUACAAUGCUAACUUUACCUUCCAAGCUCCAAUUCAAGUGAGAAGAAGUUCCAACAGCAGUGUACUAAGAUGGAAUAAUAUCCUCUGGUCCAAAACCAAUCUCCUCCCAAGAUCUAAACACAAAAACAUCAAAGUUGCAUCAAUAACCCUAAAUUUCAGCACUUAAGCUUAAUCCAAUAACUCCAAUGUCACAACUCACCAAUCAAUCCCCAAAUUCACAAUUCAGAUGAUGAACACCUUCCUAAGCCAGUAGGGAAAGGUGGCGCAACUUUCACGAGUCGAAAAUCCAGCACUCUCCAUGAAUUGCAUCAGGAAAAAUCCUAAAAACUCAAAAUCAGCCUCAAUGUAGCAGCAAACCAGAAAAAUAGUAAUUCAACCAUACUAACCUCAAUCAAAUUCUGUCAAAUUGGGCUCUACGGAUUCGUUUGGAAGUCUAGAAUCUAGCAAACCAAGUUUUGUGGCAAACGGAGCUUCCUAUGUCACACACGAGCCAAAAUACGGAAGGUCGUUGCAGGGAAACUGCUAGAACUGGAGCCUUCAAUGUGAAGAGUGAGCAGUUGAUGAAAAUUGGAGUAAUUUGAUGUAUUAGCUGCAAUUCUAAGCCUUUACUGUGAAGAGAGGAUGAAAAGAGUUCACCGGGGACGAACUCCAGCUAUUUAUAGUGAGCUGGGAAAAUAAAAUAAGCCCCAUGAACAAACACUACUAACCUGCCACCCUUGCAGAAACGAGCACUUUCGGGCGCCCAGAACCAUAUUCUGGGCGUCCGAAACCUCUAGGGCCUAUAAAGCUCCUAUUUCGGCUCCUCAUCCGCGGUGUGCUGCGCCCUAAACCUGGUCCUGCGGAUCUCACCUAUCACAAACAUGUGUCAGCUCAAACGAUAUUCACGAGGCGAAUUUUCGGACCCACUUCUGGGCGCCCGAAACAUAGGAUCCGAAUUGGCUUCCAGUUCUGCUCAGACCAGCACUCAAGUUCUGGACGACCCAAAUCCAGUUCUGGGAGUCCGAAUCUGGCAAAACUCCAGUUUUGCUUAUUUGAGUGCACCUAGUCCAUUUCUACAUCCAUUUCGUGCAGAAACGACUCCGACUUAAUCCGACACUCUCCAGAUGUGUCGACCAGUCACUAAUACUGUAGCCAAUCCUAUCCAAACCUCAGGAACACUACAAUUUUAAAGUCAAAUACAAAUUUAUGAUCUAGAAAGAAUAAAUGUGUCAACCUAGUUGGUUUCUAGGGCAUACAUUUAACACCAUGGACCAUUGAUUGUGGACGUAUGUAUAGUCCAUGGGGGGAUCUCGGGUGCAUCUGUUCUAUGUAUAUUCUUCUACAUUAUACGAGGGUUUGGGGAAUCGGACUUGUGCUACUGUGCUGCCACGUGCCCUAGGGCUGCUUUCGGUGUUCCUGGUUCACCAUAUACCAUUGCUUAUAAAUAUAUAUGUAUGGUCCAUGGGGAGAUUUUGGGUGCAUCUAUUCUAUGUAUAUUUUUUUCGAUAUUAAAGGAGUGUUGAGGAGGUCUCAAAGUGACACGUCCCUCAAAACCCUCCCCUCACAUCUCCUCCUACCUAUAUAUAGAGGGUUUUAAAGUUGUAUAAAAUUCUAAAUUUGAAAUUUUACAAUUGUAAAACAUAUAAUAUUUAUUCCCAAAUUUGCAACUUCAAAAUUUUAAAUUUUAAAUUCCUAAAACUUCUAAAAUGAAUUUGUCACGCCCCGGAUGUCUUGUUCCCCGGGCACGCCGACAAAUCCGCCGUAUACAAGAAAUUUUUCCUGUAUACGAAGCGUCACUGGUACCUGUAGAAACAACAAUACUACAAACAGUAGUAUAGAGCAGAAGAAAUAACUAAAGUAAACGAGCUUUUUAUACAUAGUCACAAAUCCCAAGUACAAAACCACUCGCACUGGCGAGUUCAACUGCUAUGUACNGUUGUACCGGUACAGCACAACCUUGUACCGGUACAACAGAGUAAAAAUCCUGCAAUUUCGCAGAUUUUCACACAGAAUGCUGCCCUCGCGUCAAACGGAGUCCGUUUCGCGUCUAUUUGACGCCAACGCAACUCGAGCUUGUCUCGACACUCUCCAGAGCUGUCGACAAGUCCCCACUGACAGAAACUGGGUCUCACAGAAUUAAUUAUUUUUAUUAAUAAUUAAUUGUAUAUAUAAUAUAAUUAAUUUAUUUUAUUAAUAAUACACAUAAUAAAUCAAAAUUAUAGGAUUUAAAUUUCACGUAUAUAUUUUAGAAAUGUAAUUAAUUGAUGUGCAAAUAAGUAAUUUCUUAAUUGAGUCGAUCUCCUCGACAAAUGUGCUCUUCAAUCUCUUUUUUUAAGCAAGAGACAUGCCUUCUUUAGAGAAAAAUAACAUUUGAAUUUAAACUAAGUAAUAUCUUAAUUGAGCCUCCUCGAGAAAUGUGCUCUUCAAUCUCUUCUUUCAAGCAAGAGAAAUUUCUUAAUUGCGUCUCCUCGAGAAAUGUGCUCUGCAAUCUCUUUUUUCAAGUAAGAGAAAUACUUUCCUUUAGAGAAAAAUAAAAUUUAAAUUUAUCAUUUAUAAGUUUUUUUUUUCCAAAAAUAGUUGAUUUCUCUCUAAAGAAGACAAGUUCAAGUUCUCAUUUACUGCUACCAUUAAUUCCUUUUUCUCUCUCUAAACAAAGACAUACUCUCUCUUAAAAUAAUUCUUUAUUUAAAUUAUUAAUUCCUUAUUUUGCAGCUAACAAAUACCAAGUGGGUGAAAGAAGAUGGGAGGGGACACAUGUUGUGUUGGUUAAUAUGGUGCACCUAGUGCACCAUAAACCACACCCAAAUAUCAUAAACUUCAAUAAAUUAAUAAACUAAAAAUUUAUAACAUUUAAUAUGUAGACAUUUUGAAUAUACCAUAAAAUACAUUUAAAAAAGUCACAUUUAAUAUAUUAUAAAAUAUAUUUAAUUACUUAAAAUUUAUUUUAAAGUUUUAUUUUUUAUAUUUCUAUUAUACAAAUUUGCUGAUGGAUGUCAUUAUAAAUAUAUGUUCAAUUCAUAUAUUUAAUAGUAAUAUAUACUAUAUAUUACGAAUAUAAGUAAGAAUAAAUUUAUCAAACCUGCAGCAAAGCGCGGAUACAUAUAUUGCUAGUGCAAUCUAUAAAACAAUAAAUUAGCAUACAAACAAACAAACAUGGACAUAUGAAGCAAUGGAUGCCACCAAAAUACUAGCUAAAGUAGUGCAAAACACAUGCCUAUUUCUUUCACUGCAAAUAGGGAGGGGGGAAGUAAUUUUCAGCGAAAAGUGAUCACUUUCACUAUUUGAUUCACCGUAAUAUUAGUAUGAUUGAAAGUCUAAUUUUUUCCAAAAUGCUGAAAUUGAUUUCUCUUUCCCAUGGGGCGAAGUCAAUUCUGGUGAACUGAAGAGGGGGAGAAAAAAAUUAUAAAAUACUAUUAGAGAACUUAAUUAUAGUGACUUAUUCAGGGCUACUCUCCCUAUCUCUCUACUCCCCUCCCAUCUCCACCCCUGUCCCUCUCUUCUUCUCUUCUUGAUGCAAAAAAUCUCUCUCUCUCUCUCUCUCUCUCUCUCUCUUUCUUUUUCCUUUGCCAUCAGACCAUUCUACCUCCCCCGCUCCUCCAUCUCCGGUGACUAUCAGGUGUUUUUUUUAUUUUUUAUUUUUUACAUUUUGCUUCUUCAACCUAUCCCUCUCUCUAUCUCACUACCUAUUUUCUCCCGUCUCAGAUCCCGCAUUCUAUCUCUUUUGGUACCAGAUUUCACUUCCCUGUCGCCGGU